CCCGAGUCACUGACCGCUGCCGGUGGGCCUUCUUGGGGGCUGACUUGUACAAUAUUCUUUCAUUUGUACAUAUAUUUGUUGGCCCAAACGAGGGCGUGUAAGAUAGCCACGCUAGAGAUUGUGAGAUUAGCGAGUGUAGCGGAAAUCCAGUGUAAUUGCCCAAACUACUAUCGUAACGUGAGGUGUGUGUGCGUGGCUGCGUGUGUUCUCAACUUGCGCAUGCUUUAUUCUGUACCAAUGAAGGCUGCAGCCAUGGUCAUGAUGUAAACAGACUGCUUACUUGUUAUUUAUUUCUUGGGCUGUUACACUAUACUAAAGGCGUCGUGCUGGCUGGCUGUCUAUGGUUUACUGUUAUGCUGCUUGCUUCAACGUAGCGUAUCUGUGUAUGAUCACCACUUGUGCCGCCAGUUCUUGCAAGAGUAUGGUUUGCAUCCGGCCAUUCUGUUGCUGUGCUCAAGAUAGUAGAAUCUCCUUUUUCAAUUCAUUUCUCUUUUAUUUUACACGCAUUCCCUUAGGGCCUGAUUCAUUAAAAAAGAUAGAAUAGAGUUGCACGGUUAAUUAAUGGAAACCUGGGUGAAAACCGUUACAACACACCCACAAAGAAGGGCACCGGGCCGACCUGGCACCAACAAGACAACACAUGCCGCCAAGGAGAGGACACCGUUGAGGUUGCCUGCAAUGUCAUCGUCAUCACCUCUCCCCGAGACUUCGACUUCGCCGAUGACGGUCCGUCAAGACCCCUUCGGACGGACGACACACAAGGACCUCGGCGGCCAUAGCCAAACAAUCGACCGUAGACACCGAGGAUAGGCAGCUCCAAUUUUGCUGUCGCGCUUCACUGGAGAAAGUUGCAAGCCUCGUACCGAGCACAACCUCCGGAGAGCACCAAGCGCUGAAGCCGCCCUCAUGGAGUCAUCGUUGUGUCACAGCGGGGAACAAACAUAGGCGCAUCCAUUGGCGAACGAAACCUUCGAUAUCAGAAGGACAAGCCGCGACCCAGCUCCACACACCACCAUCGUCGUCGCCGCACAAGUCGCAAUGCCAACAACUCACAUCACCGGUUGGACACCAGCCGACCGCAAUGUUGUGAGCGUCUAGCCUAUGGAAUGCGCGGACAGGAACAAAGAGCUUCAAGGCGACGCCCCAAAGGGGGGAUGCGACGAGGACAUCGUCGUUGCCCAACCCGACAUUGGGCCUUGGGCUUUCACCCGAAAAUCUUGAACCGGGAGUAGGAGGUCGGAGAUCUCCAUGGCAGCAUGAUGUAGGAUAGAACCCUACAUGCCCGAUCUUUCACGAUUGGAGGGGAUCCUACGAAGAACACGAAGAACACGAGGGGGAAAACGAGGGAAACACGAGAUAAGUCGCUCAACCAACAAGGUAUGGUUACACAUGUGCUAGAUCCUCGAAACACAAAGAGAGAUACACGAUUCAAAGUCAACAAGGGACGAUACAAAGGGUCUUCUCCGUGAGGAGGUCUUGAAGGGCCUUCCCGUAAAGGGGUCUUGAAUCCGCUUGGGGGAUCUUCUCCGAAGAGGCGCUCGACUCCGAUGGAGAAGUAAACAAGUGGAUGAGCAAAGCUCUAUCUCAAAUAUGAGCUAUCACAAUGCUAACCCUAACUAGGAGGUGGAGGAGUAUAUAUAGUCUAGGUCCACGAAGGGGUAACUGGGAGAGGGAUACAUGGGCCUCAAGCCCGAUCUCUUUGCGCAGACAGGCGUCGGACAUCUGAUGGUUGUCGGUCGUCCGAUCGCUCGCGGGCGUCCGGUCGUCCGAAAGUCUUCGGACUUCCGAUGUUUUGGCUCUGGUCCGGUAGUGUCGGACGUCCGGUCGGCGUCGGUCAUCCGGGCGCUGAUGAGUGUCGGACAUCCGGUGUCGGGCGGUCGUCCGGGCGCUGUACGUUGCCUCGGCUGGAGUCGAUCUGGUUGGUGGAGUCUCCAGGCGUCGGACGUCCGGAGAUCGUCGGUCGUCCGGUGGUCGUCGGACGUCCGAGAGCUGUAGCUUCCUGGCAGCUCUUCCUCUUGUUCCUCACGCUUGGUGUCCUCGCCGUCUUGUCCAAUGCUCGUAGAUGUUCCAUGGCCUUACUCUUGGUUCUUAAUCAUGCAUAUCACAUAUGUUUGAGGUAGUAGCCAUGUCUCACAUGUGGAAAGUGACGAUUCGGAGAGGAGCGAGUUCACCUUAUUGUUGGGGAACGUUGCAGAAAAUUAAAAUUUUUCCUACGGUUUCACCAAGAUCCAUCUAUGAGUUCAUCUAAGCAACGAGUCUAGGGAGAGAGUUUGCAUCUACAUACCACUUGUAGAUCGCGUGCGGAAGCUUGCAAGGUGAUGAUGUGGUCGUACUCGACGUGAUCCAAAUCACCGAUGACCAGCGCCGAACGGACGGCACCUCCGCGUUCAACACACGUACGGGACGGGAGACGUCUCCUCCUUCUUGAUCCAGCAAGGGGGAAGGAGAGGUUGAUGAAGAUCCAGCAGCACGACGGCGUGGUGGUGGAUGCAGGGCGUCACAGCAGCAGGGCUUCGCCGAGACUACGAGGGAGAGACGUAACGGGGGGAGGAGGAGGCGCCAGGGGCUGGUGUAUGAAGUCCCUCCUCUCCCCCACUAUAUAUAGGGGUGCCAGGGGGGCGCCGGCCCUAGUAGAUGAGAUCUACUAGGGGGGGCGGCGGCCUAGGGGAGGUUUCCCUCCCCCCCAAGGCACCUAGGGGUGCCUUCCACCACUAGGACUCCUCCUAGGGGGAAACCCUAGGCGCAUGGGCCUAUAGGGGCUGGUGCCCUUGGCCCAUGAUGGCCAAGGCGCACCCCCUACAGCCCAUGUGGCCCCCCGGGACAGGUGGCCCCACCCGGUGGACCCCCGGGACCCUUCCGGUGGUCCCGGUACAAUACCGAUAACCCCGAAACUUGUCCCGAUGCCCGAAAUAGCACUUCCUAUAUAUAAUUCUUUACCUCCGGACCAUUCCGGAACUCCUCGUGACGUCCGGGAUCUCAUCCGGGACUCCGAACAACAUUCGGGUUUCUGCAUAUACAUAUCUUCAUAACCCUAGCGUCACCGAACCUUAAGUGUGCAGACCCUACGGGUUCGGGAGACAUGCAGACAUGAACGAGACGCUCUCAGUCAAUAACCAUCAGCGGGAUCUGGAUACCCAUGAUGGCUCCCACAUGCUCCUCGAUGUUGUCAUCGGAUGAACCACUAUGUCGAGGAUUCGAUCAAACCCUGUAUGCAAUUCCCUUUGUCAAUCGGUACGUUACUUGCCCGAGACUCGAUCGUCGGUAUCCCAAUACCUUGUUCAGUCUCGUUACCGGCAAGUCACUUUACUCGUACCGUAAUGCAUGAUCCCGUGUCCAACACCUUGGUCACAUUGAGCUCAAUAUGAUGAUGCAUUACCGAGUGGGCCCAGAGAUACCUCUCCGUCAUACGGAGUGACAAAUCCCAGUCUCGAUCCGUGUCAACCCAACAGCUACUUUCGGAGAUACCUGUAAUGCACCUUUAUAGUCACCCAGUUACGUUGUGACGUUUGGUACACCCAAAGCACUCUUACGGUAUCCGGGAGUUACACGAUCUCAUGGUCGAAGGAAGAGAUACUUGACACUUGCAAAGCUCUAGCAAAACGAACUACACGAUCUUUUAUGCUAUGCUUAGGAUUGGGUCUUGUCCAUCACAUCAUUCUCCUAAUGAUGUGAUCCCGUUAUCAACGACAUCCAAUGUCCAUAGUCAGGAAACCAUGACUAUCUGUUGAUCACAACGAGCUGGUCAACUAGAGGCUUACCAGGGACAUAGUGUGGUCUAAGUAUUCACACGUGUAUUACGAUUUCCGGAUAAUACAGUUAUAGCAUGAAUAAAAGACAAUUAUCAUGAACAAUGAAAUGUAAUAAUACUUUUAUUAUUGCCUCUAGGGCAUAUUUCCAACAGUCUCCCACUUGCACUAGAGUCACCAAUCUAGUUACAUUGUGAUGAAUCGAACACCCAUAGAGUUCUGGUGUUGAUCAUGUUUUGCACGCGAGAGAGGUUUAGUCAGCGGAUCUGCGACAUUCAGAUCCGUGUGCACUUUGCAAAUCUCUAUGUCUCCAUCUUGAACAUUUUCACGGAUGGAGUUGAAACGACGCUUGAUGUGCCUGGUCUUCUUGUGAAACCUGGGCUCCUUUGCGAGGGCAAUAGCUCCAGUGUUGUCACAGAAGAGUUUGAUCGGCCCUGACGCAUUGGGUAUGACUCCUAGGUCGGUGAUGAGCUCCUUCACCCAAAUCGCUUCAUGUGCUGCCUCCGAGGCUGCCAUGUACUCCGCUUCACACGUAGAUCCCGCCACGACGCUCUGCUUGCAGCUGCACCAGCUUACUGCUCCACCAUUCAACAUAUACACGUAUCCGGUUUGUGACUUAGAGUCAUCCAGAUCUGAGUCGAAGCUAGCGUCGACGUAACCCUUUACGACGAGCUCUUCGUCUCCUCCAUAAACGAGAAACAUGUCCUUUGUCCUUUUCAGGUACUUCAGGAUAUUCUUGACCGAUGUCCAGUGUUCCUUGCCGGGAUUACUUUGGUAUCUUGCUACCAAACUUACGGCAAGGUUUACAUCGGGUCUGGUACACAGCAUGGCAUACAUAAUAGAUCCUAUGGCUGAAGCAUAGGGGAUGACACUCAUCUCUUCUUUAUCUUUUGCCGUGGUCGGUGACUGAGCUGAGCUCAGUCUCAUACCUUGUAAUAUAGGCAAGAACCCCUUCUUGGACUGAUCCAUUCUGAAUCUCUUCAAAAUCUUAUCAAGGUAUGUGCUUUGUGAAAGACCUAUGAGGCGUCUCGAUCUAUCUCUAUAGAUCUUGAUGCCUAAUAUAUAAGCAGCUUCUCCAAGGUCCUUCAUUUAAAAAACACUUAUUCAGGUAGGCCUUAAUGCUGUCCAGAAAUUCUAUAUUAUUUCCCAUCAGGAGUAUGUCAUCUACAUAUAAUAUGAGAAAUGCUACAGAGCUCCCACUCACUUUCUUGUAAACGCAGGCUUCUCCAUAAGUCUGCAUAAACCCAAACGCUUUGAUCAUCUCAUCAAAGUGAAUGUUCCAACUCCGAGAUGCUUGCACCAGUCCAUAAAUGGAUCGCUGGAGCUUGCAUACUUUGUUAGCGUUCCGAGGAUCGACAAAACCUUCCGGCUGCAUCAUAUACAGUUCUUCCUUAAGAUGCCCGUUAAGGAAUGCUGUUUUGACGUCCAUCUGCCAUAUCUCAUAAUCAUACUAUGCGGCAAUUGCUAACAUGAUUCGGACGGACUUUAGCUUCGCUACGGGAGAGAAUGUCCCGUCGUAGUCAAUCCCUUGAACCUGUCGAUAACCCUUAGCGACAAGUCGAGCUUUAUAGAUGGUAACAUUACCAUCCGCGUCCGUCUUCUUCUUAAAGAUCCAUUUGUUUUCUAUCGCUCGCCGAUCAUCGGGCAAGUCUGUCAAAGUCCAUACUUUGUUUUCAUACAUGGAUUCUAUCUCGGAUUUCAUGGCUUCAAGCCAUUUGUUGGAAUCCGGGCCCGCCAUUGCUUCUUCAUAGUUCAAAGGUUCAUUGUUGUCUAACAACAUGAUUUCCAGGACAGGGUUGCCGUACCACUCUGGUGCGGAACGUGUCCUUGUGGACCUACGAAGUUCAGCAGUAACUUGAUCCGAAGUACCUUGAUCAUUAUCAUGGUUUUCCUCUUCAGUUGGUGUGGGCAUCACAGGAACGGUUUCCUGUGCUGCGUCACUAUCCCGCUCAAUAGGUAGUACUUCAUCGAGUUCUACUUUCCUCCCACUUACUUCUUUCGAGAGAAACUCUUUUUCCAGAAAGCAUCCGUUCUUGGCAACAAAGAUCUUGCCUUCGGAUCUUAAGUAGAAGGUAUACCCUAUAGUUUCCUUAGGGUAUCCUAUGAAUACGCAUUUUUCCGACUUGGGUUCGAGCUUUUCAGGUUGAAGUUUCUUGACAUAAGCUUCGCAUCCCCAAACUUUUAGAAACGACAGCUUAGGUUUCUUUCCAAACCAUAAUUCAUACGGUGUCGUCUCAACGGAUUUAGACGGUGCCCUAUUUAAAGUGAAUGUAGCUGUCUCUAGAGCGUAUCCCCAAAAUGAUAGCGGUAAAUCGGUAAGAGACAUCAUAGACCGCACCAUAUCCAAUAGAGUGCGAUUACGACGUUCGGACACACCGUUUCGCUGAGGUGUUCCAGGCGGCGUGAGCUGUGAAACGAUUCCACAUUUCUUUAAGUGUGUACCAAAUUCGUGACUUAAGUAUUCUCCUCCACGAUCUGAUCAUAAGAAUUUUAUCUUUUGGUCACGUUGAUUCUCCACCUCAUUCUGAAAUUCCUUGAACUUUUCAAAGGUCUCAGACUUGUGUUCCAUUAAGUAGACAUACCCAUAUCUACUCAAGUCAUCUGUGAGAGUGAGAACAUAACGAUAUCCUCCGCGAGCCUCAACGCUCAUUGGACCGCACACAUCGGUAUGUAUGAUUUCCAACAAGUUGGUUGCUCGCUCCAUUGUUCCGGAGAACGGAGUCUUGGUCAUUUUGCCCAAGAGGCAUGGUUCGCACGUGUCAAACGAUUCAUAAUCAAGAGACUCUAAAAGUCCAUCAGCAUGGAGCUUCUUCAUGCGCUUGACACCAAUGUGACCAAGGCGGCAGUGCCACAAGUAUGUGGGACUAUCGUUAUCAACUUUAAAUCUUUUGGCAUCUACACUAUGAACAUGUGUAAUAUUACGCUCGUGAUUCAUUAAGAAUAAACCAUUGACCAUCGGAGCAUGACCAUAAAACAUAUCUCUCAUAUAAAUCGAACAACCAUUAUUCUCAGACUUAAAUGAGUAGCCAUCUCGUAUUAAACGAGAUCCAGAUACAAUGUUCAUGCUCAAACUUGGCACCAAAUAACAAUUAUUGAGGUUCAAAACUAAUCCCGUAGGUAAAUGUAGAGGCAGCGUGCCGACGGCGAUCACAUCGACUCUGGAACCAUUCCCGACGCGCAUCGUCACCUCGUCCUUCGCCAGUCUCUGUUUAUUCCGCAGCUCCUGCUGUGAGUUACAAAUAUGAGCAACGGCACCGGUAUCAAAUACCCAGGAGUUACUACGAGUACUGGUAAGGUAACAUCAAUCACAUGUAUAUCAAAUAUACCUUUGGUGUUGCCGGCCUUCUUAUCCGCUAAGUAUUUGGGGCAGUUCCGCUUCCAGUGACCCUUCCCCUUGCAAUAAAAGCACUCAGUCUCAGGCUUGGGUCCAUUCUUUGACUUCUUCCCGGUAACUGGCUUACCAGGCGCGGCAACAUCUUUGCCGUCCUUCUUGAAGUUCUUCUUACCCUUGCCCUUCUUGAACUUAGUGGUCUUAUUGACCAUCAACACUUGAUGUUCUUUCUUGAUUUCAGCCUCUGCUGACUUCAACAUCGAGAACACUUCAGGAAUGGUCUUUUCCAUUCCCUGCAUGUUGUAGUUCAUCACAAAGCUCUUGUAGCUUCGUGGGAGCGACUGGAGGAUUCUGUCAAUGACCGCCUCAUCUGGGAGGUUAAUGUUCAGCUGGGUCAUACGGUUGUGCAACCCAGACAUCUUCAGGAUGUGCUCACUGACAGAACUGUUUUCCUCCAUCUUACAACUGUAGAACUUGUCGGAGACAUCAUAUCUCUCGACCCGGGCAUGAGCUUGAAAAACUAGUUUCAGCUCUUCGAACAUCUCAUAUGCUCCGUGAUGCUCAAAACGCUUUUGGAGCCCCAGUUCUAAGCUGUAAAGCAUGCCGCACUGAACGAGGGAGUAAUCAUCAGCGCGAGACUGCCAAGCAUUCAUAAUGUCUUGGUUCUCUGGGACGGGAGCGUCACCUAGCGGUCCUUCUAGGACAUAUUGUUUCCUGGCAGCUAUGAGGAUGAUCCUCAGGUUCCGGACCCAGUCCGUAUAGUUGCUGCCAUCAUCUUUCAGCUUGGUUUUCUCUAGGAACGCGUUGAAGUUCAUGUUGACAUUAGCGUUGGCCAUUGAUCUACAAGACAUAUUUGCAAAGGUUUUAGACUAAGUUCAUGAUAAUAAAGUUCUAAUCAAAUUAUGAACUCCCACUUAGAUUAGACAUCCCUUUAGUCAUCUAAGUGUUACACGAUCCGAGUCGACUAGCCCGUGUCCGAUCAUCACGUGAGACGGACUAGUCAUCGUCGGUGAACAUUUUCAUGUUGAUCAUAUCUUCUAUACGAUUCGUGUUCGACCUUUCGGUCUCCGUGUUCCGAGGCCAUGUCUGCACAUGCUAGGCUCGUCAAGUUAACCCUAAGUGUUUUCGCUGUGUAAAACUGUCUUACACCCGUUGUAUGUGAACGUAAGAAUCCAUCACACCCGAUCAUCACGUGGUGCUUAGAAACGACGAACUGUAGCAACGGUGCACAGUUAGGGGAGAACACUUCUUGAAAUUUUAUAAGGGAUCAUCUUAUUUACUACCGUCGUCCUAAGUAAACAAGAUGCAUAAUACAUAAUAAACAUCACAUGCAAUUAUAUAGUUGUGACAUGAUAUGGCCAAUAUCAUAUAGCUCCAUUGAUCUUCAUCUUCGGGGCUCCAUGAUCAUCUUGUCACCGGCUUGACACCAUGAUCUCCAUCAUCAUGAUCUCCAUCAUCGUGUCUUCAUGAAGUUGUCACGCCAACGACUACUUCUACUUCUAUGACUAACGUUUAGCAAUAAAGUAAAGUAGUUUACAUGACGUUAUUCAAUGACACGCAGGUCAUACAAAAAAUAAUGACAACUCCUAUGGCUCCUGCCGGUUGUCAUACUCAUCGACAUGCAAGUCGUGAACCCUAUUACAAAGAACAUGAUCUCAUACAUCACAAUUCAUCAUUCAUCACAACUUCUGGCCAUAUCACAUCACAUGAUCAAUCGCUGCAAAAACAAGUUAGACGUCCUCUAAUUGUUGUUGCAUCUUUUACGUGGCUGCAAUUGGGUUCUAGCAAGAACGUUUUCUUACCUACGAAUCACCACAACGUGAUUUUGUCAACUUCUAUUUACCCUUCAUAAGGGCCCUGUUCAUCGAUUCCGCUCCAACUAAGGUGGGAGAGACAGACACCCGCCAGCCACCUUAUGCAACUAGUGCAUGUCAAUCGGUGGAACCGGUCUCACGUAAGAGUACGUGUAAGGUUGGUCCGGGCCGCUUCAUCCCACAAUACCGUUGAGCAAGAAAAGACUAGUAGAGGCAAGUAAGAUGACAAAAUCCACGCCCACAACAAAGUUGUGUUCUACUCGUGCAAAGAGAACUACGCAUAGACCUAGCUCAUGAUGCCACUGCUGGGGAACGUUGCAGAAAAUUAAAAUUUUUCCUACGGUUUCACCAAGAUCCAUCUAUGAGUUCAUCUAAGAAACGAGUCUAGGGAGAGAGUUUGCAUCUACAUACCACUUGUAGAUCGCGUGCGGAAGCUUGCAAGGUGAUGAUGUGGUCGUACUCGACGUGAUCCAAAUCACCGAUGACCAGCGCCGAACGGACGGCACCUCCGCGUUCAACACACGUACGGGAUGGGAGACGUCUCCUCCUUCUUGAUCCAGCAAGGGGGAAGGAGAGGUUGAUGAAGAUCCAGCAGCACGACGGCGUGGUGGUGGAUGCAGGGCGUCACAGCAGCAGGGCUUCGCCGAGACUACGAGGGAGAGACGUAACGGGGGGAGGAGGAGGCGCCAGGGGCUGGUGUAUGAAGUCCCUCCUCUCCCCCACUAUAUAUAGGGGUGCCAAGGGGGGGGGGCGCCGGCCCUAGUAGAUGAGAUCUACUAGGGGGGCGGCGGCCUAGGGGAGGUUUCCCUCCCCCCCAAGGCACCUAGGGGUGCCUUCCACCACUAGGACUCCUCCUAGGGGGAAACCCUAGGCGCAUGGGCCUAUAGGGGCUGGUGCCCUUGGCCCAUGAUGGCCAAGGCGCACCCCCUACAGCCCAUGUGGCCCCCCGGGACAGGUGGCCCCACCCGGUGGACCCCCGGGACCCUUCCGGUGGUCCCGGUACAAUACCGAUAACCCCGAAACUUGCCCCGAUGCCCGAAAUAGCACUUCCUAUAUAUAAUUCUUUACCUCCGGACCAUUCCGGAACUCCUCGUGACGUCCGGGAUCUCAUCCGGGACUCCGAACAACAUUCGGGUUUCUGCAUAUCCAUAUCUUCAUAACCCUAGCGUCACCGAACCUUAAGUGUGUAGACCCUACGGGUUCGGGAGACACGCAGACAUGACCGAGACGCUCUCAGUCAAUAACCAUCAGCGGGAUCUGGAUACCCAUGAUGGCUCCCACAUGCUCCUCGAUGUUGUCAUCGGAUGAACCACUAUGUCGAGGAUUCGAUCAAACCCUGUAUGCAAUUCCCUUUGUCAAUCGGUACGUUACUUGCCCGAGACUCGAUCGUCGGUAUCCCAAUACCUUGUUCAGUCUCGUUACCGGCAAGUCACUUUACUCGUACCGUAAUGCAUGAUCCCGUGUCCAACACCUUGGUCACAUUGAGCUCAAUAUGAUGAUGCAUUACCGAGUGGGCCCAGAGAUACCUCUCCGUCAUACGGAGUGACAAAUCCCAGUCUCGAUCCGUGUCAACCCAACAACUACUUUCGGAGAUACCUGUAAUGCACCUUUAUAGUCACCCAGUUACGUUGUGACGUUUGGUACACCCAAAGCACUCUUACGGUAUCCGGGAGUUACACGAUCUCAUGGUCGAAGGAAGAGAUACUUGACACUUGCAAAGCUCUAGCAAAACGAACUACAUGAUCUUUUAUGCUAUGCUUAGGAUUGGGUCUUGUCCAUCACAUCAUUCUCCUAAUGAUGUGAUCCCGUUAUCAACGACAUCCAAUGUCCAUAGUCAGGAAACCAUGACUAUCUGUUGAUCACAACGAGCUGGUCAACUAGAGGCUUACCAGGGACAUAGUGUGGUCUAAGUAUUCACACGUGUAUUACGAUUUCCGGAUAAUACAGUUAUAGCAUGAAUAAAAGACAAUUAUCAUGAACAAUGAAAUAUAAUAAUACUUUUAUUAUUGCCUCUAGGGCAUAUUUCCAACACUUAUGUCCAGUGGCAUAUGUUCGAGGUCUCGUCAUAUGUCCUCUUAUGGCUUGGAGAGUAGUCCGAGUGUACAUGGGGAUGAACGUGGUAUGCUCCGCAUCAUCUCUCCCCCCUUGGGAAAGAUCCGACCUCGGAUCGUGAUCCUCAUCACCAUGGAAACGGUUGUCGUGGACGGACUUGUAGUUGGACGAAGUUGAAGACAUUGCGCAAUCCAAGUACUCCAAGGUGUCUCCGGAGUGAUAGACAUGCAAAAAGAGCAAACACAAGCGACACUCGGAAAUACAAUGGUUAGCGCACACAAAGUGUCCAUCAUGUAAGAAUGAGUCUGUGCGGCAAGAAUGUUCGCGACAAAGCGCAUGAAGCUUAUCAAGAUGAUAUAGAAUGAUAUGCAAAGCAUUCAUGGGAUAAAAUGCAAUCAUUGUGCACACAAAGUUGUGGUAGUUGUCAUGGUGCACAAAGCUACAAAUUCUACCAUUGUGCAAAAUGAUGUCAUAGUGUGAUGGUUUAUCAAGAGCAUGAACAUGGCAAUGGAUGCUCAAUAUGUGUAUGUUAUCAUGCAAUUGAUGGUGGACAAUAUGAUCAUGAUGUAUGAAUAUGCCAUCAAGGAAGAUCACAACAAAUUUGCUAAGGAAAUGCACAAGCUCAUAUAUCAUGGAUGACAUGGAAAUAGAUGCAACAAGGCAAUCAUAAUGUCAGUCAAUCCAUGCACACGGUGAAAACUUGUGGUGAGUAUGAAAUGUCCAUCGAGCAUGACAUGGGGAAGCAUAAUCAACAAAUAUGUAUGUGUUGGUGCAAUGUGUCAAAGGAGUGUUGAUGUACCAAUGCUCGAUGACAUGGCAUGAGUGGAGUUCCGAAGGUGCAUCCAAUAAGUGUGAGCGCUCCUCAAUGUGAAGGUCCAUAGAGUCAAUCUCCAAUGUCGCUCCUCCGUUCGCGAGAUGUAUCAUGUAGACAACAAGAAGAAAACAACAAUGAAAGAUUGACCCAUCCAAUAUGCGUACUCGAGGAUGGCUCAAAGGAAAGGAGUUCACCUUUAUGAGAAUGUCGAAAAUGUUGGUGUCGCGCAUCAUGUACGCCUUCACAUGACCAAGUUGUCUUGUGAUGGUACCGCCUUGUGAAUCCUUCAAAACGAAAGAAUAUGACAAACACUCAGAAAAACAAAUGAGGUUAGCGGAAGUGCAAAACCUAUCAUUCGUGUGGUAAGAUACCCAACAAGUGUAUGCAUCAUGCUCAUCAUAAGAAAGGACAAGGGAGCAUUUCAUAGCAUGGAGGCAUAAGAUGCAAGAACAACCAAAUACAAGUGGCUCAAUCAAACAAGCAUGCAUCACAAGUAAGGUGUCAAAGUCUCCAAGAUCAAUAAGCAUAGUAUGGUUGCACUCAAUACAAGUGGAUAUGAAAGAGGCAACUAAUGGACACAAGAGACAAUGAUCAAGAUAUAUCAUGUGAGAGGUAUGAACAUAUACAUCAUCAACCCAAGAAAGCGAGUAAGAAUGGAACAUGGGUGAUGCAACCAAACAAGUAAUCAUACUGAUCAUGUCAAGCAAGCUAGUAGUGCAAAGAUGCAACAUACUAGAGGUAAUCAUGGCAAUCAUGUCAUGUAUGAAAAUAUUGGGUAUGAAUAAUUCACAUGACAUAACACAAGCAUAAAAGCAAGAUAUGAGGUGAGUAUCAUCAUUGUAUUGGCAAGAAGUCCUAGGUAAAUAGCAAUGGAACAUCAUGACUCUCCCAACACAAGAAUCAACAAUAGCAUGUGGCACAUAGUAAACAUGGCAGUAGCAACAAGUAUCUCCACCAAGCAUGCAAAUACACAUAGAAGUAGCAUAAUGGUGAAUCAUGGGUAGAUGCAAGCAAGUGUCACAAUUACAUGGCAAACUCAUGUAAAGAGGCAUAACAUGCAAAGUGAACACGAUAGUAUGGGCAUAAGGUGACAAGUGGUAAAUAGCCCAUAGUCGUGUGAGAGACAAGUAAAAGAGAUGCGCUUAGGCAUUGCGCGAAGAGAACGGUGGUAAGGACAAUCCACGGGAUCCCAAAUCGUCGUUGCUCUCAAGAGUUUGUUUCGUCAACUCUUGGGAUUGAGAGUUGACGUGUAUACGCGAGUACCUACACAAAACAAAGACAAAGAAAAAAUUAUGUGUGCGUGGUAUAUGUACACAUCAUCCAUCAUGAUGCGUACGUGCUUGUGUUGGUUAGCACAAAAUAUCCAAUGCUCAAAUAAAUGAGAUGCAUGAUAUAGAAACAUGUCAUCCAUCAUGAGAGAUUUGCUGUUAUGUAGAGCAUAAUGGAGACUCAAAGGAUGUACUGCAUCAUGAGAAAUAUCUAGAGCAUUGUUAUUCAUGGAAUGCAUAUGGUGCACGCAAUUAUGGGAAUCAUGCAAAGUAUGGAAUGCAUCAAAAUCUCCUAAUAUGUAUGAGGAAACUAUGGGGGUCUUCUCAUGAGCAUUAGUAGAAACAUCACAUGAAGAAUAUUGACAACAUCCAAAACAAUGCAUAUUUGGAACAAUGUGAUCAUGGCAUUGCAUAGUAGAUGAAUUGCGCAACUCAUGUAAAGGAAGCAUGGCAAUAUCAUCACAUGAAAAAUAAAAGCCAAUGACCAUCAUCUCGUCAUCUAUGCCAUAAGUGCAAAUGGGAUUUUUUAAUGGGGCAUGCAUAGUUACUAUGUUGAGAUUGAAAUGAUGCAAUAUGGGAGAUCUCACUCAUAGCAUAUGACAAGUUUAAAUCAAACAUGACGCGGCCAAUAGAUUUUUCACAUGAUAUCCUAUGAAGCAUAGCAGCACAACCAGGCAACUCAAUAUGCUCAUCAUCAUACUCAUCAUAAAUAGGUAAGUCAUGACAUGAGGAAGUCGCACUAGCAUGAAGCAUGGGAAUGUUGGAAAUAUGCCCUAGAGGCAAUAAUAAAAUGAUUAUUAUUAUAUUUCCUUGUUCAUGAUAAAUUUCUAUUAUUCAUGGUAUAAUUGUGUUAUCCGGAAAUCAUAAUACAUGUGUGAAUACAUAGACCAUAACAUGUCCCUAGUGAGCCUCUAGUUGACUAGCUCGUUGAUCAACAGAUAGUCAUGGUUUCCUGACUAUGGACAUUGGAUGUCACUGAUAACAGGAUCACAUCAUUAGGAGAAUGAUGUGAUGGACAAGACCCAAUCCUAAGCAUAGCACAAGAUCGUGUAGUUCGUUUGCUAGAGCUUUUCCAAUGUAAAGUAUCAUUUCUUUAGACCAUGAGAUCGUGUAACUCCCGGAUGCCGUAGGAGUGCUUUGGGUGUACCAAACGUCUCAACGUAAUUGGGUUACUAUAAAGGUAUACUAUAGGUAUCUCCGAAAGUAUCUGUUGGGUUGACACGGAUCGAGACUGGGAUUUGUCACUCCGUAUGACGGAGAGGUAUCUUUGGGCCCACUCAGUAAUGCAUCAUCAUAAUGAGCUCAAUGUGACCAAGUGUUUGGUCACGGGAUCAUGCAUUACGGUACGAGUAAAGUGACUUGCCGGUAACGAGAUUGAACGAGGUAUUGGGAUAUCGACGAUCGAAUCUCAGGCAAGUAACGUACUAAUUGACAAAGGGAAUUGUAUACGGGAUUACUUGAAUCCUCGACAUCGUGGUUCAUUCGAUGAGAUCAUCGUGGAACACGUGGGAGCCAACAUGAGUAUCCAGAUCCCGCUGUUGGUUAUUGGUGGGAGAGUCGUCUCGGUCAUGUCUGCGUGUCUCCCGAACCCGUAGGGUCUACACACUUAAGGUUCGGUGACGCUAGGGUUAUAGAGAUAUUAGUAUGCGGUAACCCGAAAGUUGUUCAGAGUCCCGGAUGAGAUCCUGGACGUCAUGAGGAGUUCCGGAAUGGUCCGGAGGUGAAGAAUUGUAUAUAGGAAGUCCAGUUUCGGCCACCGGGAAAGUUUCGGGGGUUACCGGUAUUGUACCGGGACCACCGAAAGGGUCCCGGGGGUCCACCGGGUGGGGCCACCUAUCCCGGAGGGCCCCAUGGGCUGAAGUGGGAGGGGAACCAGCCCCUGGUGGGCUGGUGCGCUCCCCUUGGGCCUCCCCCUGCGCCUAGGGUUGGAAACCCUAGGGGUGGGGGGCGCCCCACUUGGCUUGGGGGGCAAGCCCCCCCCUUGGCCGCCGCCCCCCUUGAGAUUCAAUCUCUAGGGGGUCGGCGCCCCCCCAGGGCCCCUAUAUAAAGAGGGAGGAGGGAGAGUUGUGCACCCCAGCUCCUGGCGCCUCCCUCUCCCCUUGUAACACCUCUUCCUCUCGCUGAGCUUGGCGAAGCCCUGCCGAGAUCGCCGCUACUUCCACCACCACGCCGUCGUGCUGCUGGAUCUCCAUCAACCUCUCCCUUCCCCUUGCUGGAUCAAGAAGGAGGAGACGUCUUCCCCAACCGUACGUGUGUUGAACGGGGAGGUGCCGUCCGUUCGGCGCUAGGAUCAUCGGUGAUUUGGAUCACGACGAGUACGACUCCUUCAACCCCGUUCUCUUGAACGCUUCCGCGCGUGAUCUACAAGGGUAUGUAGAUGCACUCCUCUCUCUCGUUGCUAGAUGACUCCAUAGAUUGAUCUUGGUGAAGCAUAGAAAUUUUUUAUUUUCUGCAACGUUCCCCAACAGUGGCAUCAUGAGCUAGGUCUAUGCGUAGUUUCUAUGCACGAGUAGAACACAAUCUUGUUGUGGGCGUAAAUGUUGUCAAUUUUCUUGCCACUACUAGUCUUAUCUUGUUUCGGCGGCAUCAUGGGAUGAAGCGGCCCGGACCGACCUUACACGUACGCUUACGUGAGACAGGUUCCACCGACUAACAUGCACUAGUUGCAUAAGGUGGCUAGAGGGUGUCUGUCUCUCCCACUUUAGUCGGAUCAGAUUCGAUGAAAAGGGUCCUUAUGAAGGGUAAAUAGAAAUUGGCAUAUCACGUUGUGGUUUUACGUAGGUAAGAAACGUUCUUGCUAGAACCCUAUUGCAGCCACGUAAAAACUUGCAACAACAAUUAGAGGACGUCUAACUUGUUUUUGCAGCAUAUGCCUUGUGAUGUCAUAUGGCCAAAAGGAUGUGAUGAAUGAAAUAUAUGUGAUGUAUGAGAUUGAUCAUGUUCUUGUAAUAGGAAUCACGACUUGCAUGUCGAUGAGUAUGACAACCGGCAGGAGCCAUAGGAGUUGUCUUUAUUUUUUGUAUGACCUGCGUGUCAUUGAAUAACGCCAUGUAAAUUACUUUACUUUAUUGCUAAACCGUUAGCCAUAGAAGUAGAAGUAAUCGUUGGUGUGACAACUUCAUGAAGACACGAUGAUGGAGAUCAUGGUGUCAUGCCGGUGACGAUGAUGAUCAUGGCGCCCCAAAGAUGGAGAUCAAAAGGAGCAAAAUGAUAUUGGCCAUAUCAUGUCACUAUAUGAUUGCAUGUGAUGUUUAUCAUGUUUUUGCAUCUUAUUUGCUUAGAACGACGGUAGUAAAUAAGAUGAUCCCUCACAAUAAUUUCAAGAAAGUGUUCCCCCUAACUGUGCGCCGUUGUGAAAGUUGUUUCGAAGCACCACGUGAUGAUCGGGUGUGAUAGAUUCCAACGUCCACAUACAACGGGUGUAAGACAGAUUUACACAUGCAAAACACUUAGGUUGACUUGACGAGCCUAGCAUGUACAGACAUGGCCUCAGAACACAAGAGACCGAAAGGUCAAACAUGAGUCGUAUGGAAGAUACGAUCAACAUGGAGAUGUUCAUCGAUGAUGACUAGUCCGUCUCACGUGAUGAUCGGACACGGUCUAGUUGAGUCGGAUCAUGUAUCACUUAGAUGACUAGAGGGAUGUCUAAUCUGAGUGGGAGUUCAUUAAAUAAUUUGAUUAGAUGAACUUAAUUAUCAUGAACUUAGUCUAAAAACCUUUGCAAAAUUUCUUGUAGAUCAAAUGGCCAAUGCUCAUGUCAACCUCAACUUCAACGCGUUCCUAGAGAAAACCAAGCUGAAAGAUGAUGGCAGCAACUAUAUGGACUGGGUCCGGAACCUGAGGAUCAUCCUCAUAGCUGCCAAGAAAGCAUAUGUCCUAGAAGCACCGCUAGGUGAAGCACCCAUCCCAGAGAACCAAGACGUUAUGAACGCUUGGCAGUCGCGUGCUGAUGAUUACUCUCUCGUUCAAUGCGGCAUGCUUUAUAGCUUAGAACCGGGGCUCCAACAACGUUUUGAGCAACACAGAGCAUAUGAGAUGUUCGAAGAGCUGAAAAUGGUUUUCCAAGCUCAUGCCCGAGUCGAGAGAUAUGAAGUCUCCGACAAGUUCUACAGUUGUAAGAUGGAGGAAAAUAGUUCUACUCAGUGAGCACAUACUCAAAAUGUCUGGGUUGCACAACCGCUUGUCCCAGCUGGACAUUAACCUCCCGGACGAGGCGGUCAUUGACAGAAUCCUUCAGUCGCUCCCACCUAGCUACAAGAGCUUUGUGAUGAACUACAAUAUGCAGGGGAUGGUGAAAACUAUUCCUGAAGUAUUUUCAAUGCUGAAAUCAGCGGAGGUGGAAAUCAAAAAGGAACAUCAAGUGUUGAUGGUCAAUAAAACCACAAGUUUCAAGAAAGGCAAGGGUAAGAAGAACUUCAAGAAGGACGGCAAGGGAGUUGCCGCGACCGGUAAGCCAGUUGCCGGGAAGAAGCCAAAGAAUGGACCCAAACCUGAGACUGAGUGCUUUUAUUACAAGGGAAAGGGACACUGGAAGCAGAACUGCCCCAAAUACUUAGCAGACAAGAAGGCCGACAACACUAAAGGUAUAUGUGAUAUACAUGUAAUUGAUGUGUACCUUACCAGUGCUCGUAGUAGCUCCUGGGUAUUUGAUACCGGUGCGGUUGCUCAUAUUUGUAACUCAAAACAGGAGCUGCGGAGGCUGGCGAAGGACGAGGUGAUGAUUCGCGUCGGGAAUGGUUCCAAGGUAGAUGUGAUCGCCGUCGGCACGCUACCUCUACAUUUACCUACUGGGUUAGUUUUAAACCUCAAUAAUUGUUAUUUAGUGCCAGAUUUGAGCAUGAACAUUAUAUCUGGAUCUCGUUUAAUACGAGAUGGCUACUCAUUUAAAUCCGAGAAUAAUGGUUGUUCUAUUUAUAUGAGAGCUAUGUUUUAUGGUCAUGCCCCGCUGGUCAAUGGUUUAUUCUUAAUGAAUCUCGAACGUGAUGUUACACAUAUUCAUAGUGUGAAUACCAAAAGAUGUAAAGUUGAUAACGAUAGUCCCACAUACUUGUAGCACUGCCGCCUUGGUCACAUUGGUGUCAAACGCAUGAAGAAGCUCCAUGCUGAUGGACUUUUGGAGUCUCUUGAUUAUGAAUCAUUUGACACAUGCGAACCAUGCCUUAUGGGUAAAAUGACCAAGACUCCGUUCUUCGGAACAGUGGAGCGAGCAACCAACUUAUUGGAAAUUAUACAUACUGAUGUGUGCGGUGCAAUGAGCGUUGAGGCUCGCGGUGGCUAUCGUUAUGUUCUCACUCUCACUGAUGACUUAGGUAGAUAUGGGUAUGUCUACUUGAUGAAACACAAGUCUGAGACCUUUGAAAAGUUCAAGGAAUUUCAGAAUGAGGUAGAGAAUCAACGUGACCGAAAGAUCGUGGGGGAGAAUACUUAAGUCACGACUUUGGUACGCACUUAAGGAAAUGUGGAAUCGUUUCACAACUCAUGCCGCCUGGAACACCUCAGCAUAACGGUGUGUCCGAACAUCGUAAUCGCACUCUAUUGGAUAUGGUGCGAUCUAUGAUGUCACUCACCGAUUUACCGCUAUCAUUUUGGGGAUACGCUCUAGAGACAGCUACAUUCACUUUAAAUAGGGCACCAUCUAAAUCCGUUGAGACGACACCGUAUGAAUUAUGGUUUGGGAAGAAACCUAAGCUGUCGUUUCUAAAAGUUUGGGGAUGCGAUGCUUAUGUCAAGAAACUUCAACCUGAAAAGCUCGAACCUAAGUCAGAAAAAUGCGUCUUCAUAGGAUACCCUAAGGAAACCAUUGGGUAUACCUUCUACCUCAGAUCCGAAGGCAAGAUCUUUGUUGCCAAGAAUGGGUCCUUUCUGGAGAAAGAGUUUCUCUCGAAAGAAGUAAGUGGGAGGAAAGUGGAACUUGAUGAAGUACUACCUCUUGAACCGGUAAGUAGCGCAACUCAGGAAGAUGUUCCUGUGGUGCCUGCACCGACUAGAGAGGAAAUUAAUGAUGAUGAUCAAGGUACUUCGGAUCAAGUUACUACGGAACUUCGUAGGUCCACGUGGACACGUUCCACACCAGAGUGGUAUGGCAACCCUGUCCUGGAAAUCAUGUUGUUAGACAACGGUGAACCUUCGAACUAUGAAGAAGCAAUGGCAGGCCCAGAUUCCAACAAAUGGCUUGAAGCCAUGCAAUCCGAGAUAGGAUCCAUGUAUGAAAACAAAGUGUGGACUUUGACAGACUUGCCCGAUGAUCGGAGAGCGAUAGAAAACAAAUGGAUCUUUAAGAAGAAGACGGACGCGGAUGGUAAUGUUACCAUCUAUAAAGCUCGACUUGUCACUAAGGGUUAUCGACAAGUUAAAGGGGUUGACUAUGAUGAGACUUUCUCUCCCGUAGCGAAGCUGAAGUCCGUACGAAUCAUGUUAGCAAUUGCCGCAUACUAUGAUUAUGAGAUAUGGCAAAUGGACGUCAAAAUGACAUUCCUUAACGGCUAUCUUAAGGAAGAACUAUAUAUGAUGCAGCCGGAAGGUUUUGACGAUCCUGAGAAUGCUAACAAAGUAUGCAAGUUCCAGCGCUCCAUCUAUGUGAUGGUGUAAGCAUCUCGGAGUUGGAACAUUCGCUUUAAUAAAAUGAUCAAAGCGUUUGGGUUUAUGCAGACUUAUGGAGAAGCAUGCAUUUACAAGAAAGUGAGUGGGAGCUCUGUAGCAUUUCUCAUAUUAUAUGUGGAUGACACUUUUGAUGGGAAAUGAUAUAGAACUUUUGGACAACAUUAAGGCCUACUUGAAUAAGUGUUUUUCAAUGAAGGACCUUGGAGAAGCUGCUUACAUAUUAGGCAUCAAAAUCUAUAGAGAUAGAUCGAGACGCCUCAUAGGUCUUUCACAAAGCACAUACCUUGACAAGAUAUUGAAGAAGUUCAAUAUGGAUCAGUCCAAGAAGGGGUUCUUGCCUGUGUUGCAAGGUGUGAAAUUGAGCUCGGCUCAAUGUCCGACCAUGAUAGAAGAUAGAGAAAAGAUGAGUGUCGUCCCCUAUGCCUCGGGCAUGGGGUCUAUCAUGUAUGCCAUGCUGUGUACCAGACCUGAUGUAAACCUUGCCGUAAGUUUGGUAGGAAGGUACCAAAGUAAUCCCGACAUGGAACACUCGACAGCGGUCAAGAAUAUCCUGAAGUACCUGAAAAGGACUAAGGAUAUGUUUCUCGUUUAUGGAGGUGACAAAGAGCUCGUCAUAAAGGGUUAUGUCGACGCUAGCUUCGACACAGAUCUGGAUGACUCUAAGUCACAAACCGGAUACGUGUAUAUUUUGAAUGGAGGGGCAGUAAGCUGGUGCAGUUGCAAGCAAAGCGUCGUGGCGGGAUCUACAUGUGAAGCGGAGUACAUGGCAGCCUCGGAGGCAGCACAUGAAGCAAUCUGGAUGAAGGAGUUAAUUACCGACCUAUGAGUCAUACCCAAUGCGUCGGGGCCGAUCACUCUCUUCUGUGACAACACUGGAGCUAUUGCCCUUGCCAAGGAGCCUAGGUUUCACAAGAAGACCAGGCACAUCAAGCGUCGCUUCAACUCCAUUCGUGAAAAUGUUCAAGAUGGAGACAUAGAUAUUUGCAAAGUGCAUACGGAUCUGAAUAUCGCAGAUCCGUUGACUAAACCUCUUCCGCGAGCAAAACAUGAUCAACACCAGAACUCUAUGGGUGUUCGAUUCAUCACAAUGUAACUAGAUUAUUGACUCUAGUGCAAGUGGGAGACUGUUGGAAAUAUGCCCUAGAGGCAAUAAUAAAAUGAUGAUUAUUAUAUUUCCUUGUUCAUGAUAAUUGUCUAUUAUUCAUGCUAUAACUGUGUUAUCCGGAAAUCAUAAUACAUGUGUGAAUACAUAGACCGUAACAUGUCCCUAGUGAGCCUCUAGUUGACUAGCUCGUUGAUCAACAGAUAGUCAUGGUUUCCUGACUAUGGACAUUGGAUGUCAUUGAUAACGGGAUCACAUCAUUAGGAGAAUGAUGUGAUGGACAAGACCCAAUCCUAAGCAUAGCACAAGAUCGUGUAGUUCGUUUGCUAGAGCUUUUCCAAUGUCAAGUAUCAUUUCUUUAGACCAUGAGAUCGUGUAACUCCCGGAUGCCGUAGGAGUGCUUUGGGUGUAGCAAACGUCACAACGUAACUGGGUGACUAUAAAGGUAUACUACAGGUAUCCCCGAAAGUAUCUGUUGGGUUGACACGGAUCGAGACUUGGAUUUGUCACUCCGUAUGACGGAGAGGUAUCUCUGGGCCCACUCGGUAAUGCAUCAUCAUAAUGAUCUCAAUGUGACCAAGUGUUUGGUCAUGGGAUCAUGCAUUACGGUACGAGUAAAGUGACUUGCCGGUAACGAGAUUGAAUGAGGUAUUGGGAUACCGACGAUCGAAUCUCAGGCAAGUAACAUGUCGAUUGACAAAGGGAAUUGUAUACGUGAUUACUUGAAUCCUCGACAUCGUGGUUCAUUCGAUGAGAUCAUCAUGGAACACGUGGGAGCCAACAUGGGUAUCCACAUCCCGUUGUUGGUUAUUGGCUGGAGAGUCGUCUCGGUCAUGUGUGCGUGUCUCCCGAACCCGCAGGGUCUACACACUUAAGGUUCGGUGACGCUAGGGUUGUAGAGAUAUUAGUAUGCGGUAACCCGAAAGUUGUUCGGAGUCCCGGAUGAGAUCUCGGACGCCACGAGGAGUUCCGGAAUGGUCCGGAGGUGAAGAAUUGUAUAUAGGAAGUCCAGUUUCGUCCACCGGGAAAGUUUCGGGGGUCACCGGUAUUGUACCGGGACCACCGGAAGGGUCCCAGGGGUCCACCGGGUGGGGCCACCUACCUCGGAGGGCCCCAUGGGAUGAAGUGGGAGGGGAACCAGCCCCUGGUGGGCUGGUGCGCCCCCCUUGGGCCUCCCCCUACGCCUAGGGUUGGAAACCCUAGUGGUGGGGGCGCCCCACUUGGCUUGGGGGGCAAGCCCCCCCCCCCUUGGCCGCCCCCCCUUGAGAUUCAAUCUCUAGGGGGCCGGCGCCCCCCAGGGCCCCUAUAUAAAGAGGGGUGAGGGAGGGCUGCGCACCCCAGCUCCUGGCGCCUCCCUCUCCCCUCGUAACACCUCUCCCUCUCGUUGAGCUUGGCGAAGCCCUGCCGAGAUCGCCGCUACUUCCACCACCACGCCGUCGUGCUGCUGGAUCUCCAUCAACCUCUCCCCCCCCCUUGCUGGAUCAAGAAGGAGGAGACGUUGGUGAUUUGGAUCAUGACGAGUACGACUCCUUCAACCCCGUUCUCUUGAACGCUUCCGCGCGUGAUCUACAAGGGUAUGCAGAUGCACCCCUCUCUCUCGUUGCUAGAUGACUCCAUAGAUUGAUCUUGGUGAAGCGUAGAAUUUUUUUUAUUUUCUGCAAUGUUCCCCAACAGGGAAUAGGUGGGUCAACAUCAUGCAAGCAAUCAUUGGUAAGAUAGUCCACUGGUGGGACAAGAGAACUACCAUCACCUAUUUUACCUGUGGAGCGUCGCUCAUGUGUUGUAGGUGAGGUGUCGAAGAUCCAUUCGUUGUCAUCUUCAUCUUGAUGGAACCAUGUGGGGGGUACAUCAUCGUCCACCAUGGCCAUCGUAGUCUUCAUUGGAGGGAUGGACUCGUCGAGGGUAGGCAUGUCUUCAUGUAGUAGACCUAGCACCAAAGAAGAAAACACACUAGGAGUAGAGGUUAAGUCAUUAGAAAUCAUAGUGGCUUCACAUGCCGUCUCAACUACCUCACUCACUAAGUGGUGUGGCUCACUCACUCCCUCAAGGAUGCACUCACUCAUAUGGUUGGUGGAGUCACUCAAAUGGCUCUCAACCUCACAUAGGAUGUGUGGCAUGCUCUCAUGUGUGGGGCUACUGGUGGUCACACUCAUCCUCUCAUAGGAAAUGCACUCAAUGUCACAUAUGGUGGAGUCACUCAUCUCACUCAUGGGAUGGUGGCUUUCCUCACAUGACAAAUGGGUCAUCUCGACAUAUGUGGGUGUCGGAUAGAUGUAGGUGCAAAUGUCUCCAUGUGCGGUCGCGUAGCUUGACUCGGAGUAUGAGUCCAAUGUGGGCGCCUCUUCAUGUUGUUGAAGAGGUUCGCGCUUGUCGCCGUGGUCGAAGGGGAUGGACCUUGCUUGACUGCCUUAUCACCGUCUUGGUGUGGGAGGCCCAUAUGAUGUGGCACCUCGUAGCUCGUCUCCAUGACCGAAGGGAAUUUCCCAUGCUCAGUCAUCUUCCUUGUGGGGCUUUCGAAGAUGGAAGUGUCGCCCUCGCUUGUAGGUGGUCGCCUUUUUGUUGAAGAUGUCAAUUUAGGCGAACUCGUGGGAAGUAGGCGAAGAUGUUGUACGUCCAAAGGCGAAGAUGCCUUGAUAGACUUGGCGAAGAUGCCGAAGUGGUGGUGGUAGUUGUAGCUCCGUCUUGGUGGUGCUCGUCUUGCGGUCUUCUUUUUUGCUCAUGAAGCUUGGACUUGGUGUGAAGUAGGACUUGUUGGGACUUGUACGUUUGCGCUUGGCGAGCAUCUUCAUGAUGAUGGUGUCAUUGUCGUGCUUGAGCUCGUAGUAGAUGUCGUUCGUCGCCGUCGUGCACAUGAUGCUUGGAGGUGACUUUCCCUUCAUGACGAUGUGGAUCACGAAUGUGAUGGUGGUCGCCAUGUAGAUGUUGACGUGGACGAAUUGCGCUUGCGUCGCAUGGGCGCUCCGAAGAUGAUCAACUUGGUCGUCGCCGCCUUGAAGAUGACGAAGGGGAAGUAGACUUGAUUAAGGCCCAAAUCUCCUCCAUCCUUGCAUCUUGCUCCUCCUUUUGUGUGAAAAGCUUGUUGUCGAUGUAGUCCCUUUUCCUAGCUUCAGAGUGAUGAAUGUCGAUGGAGAGGUACUCGAUGCGCUCUCGCAAGGUAGAAUGUGCGCCUUGCAUUUGUUGUUGUAGAUCGAAGAGUGAUGAUUUGGUGAUGUAGUUGUUCAGUCCAUCAUUAUUGUCGUAGACAGGAGAUGAAAUGCCUUCCCUAUACAUCACAAGACUCGAGCAAAUAUGAGUGGAAGAAAGGAGAGAACUAUACCAAAUGUACCUUGACCGUUGUUGAAAAUGGAUCAAUGAUCACUCAAUGAUGUAACAAGGAAAUAACACAAUUGGUACCGAUCUCGUCAAUUUCUCACACCUACACAAGUAAGGCUUAUGAUGGAGCUCGGUGAGGAUAGUGGCACAAAAAAAUUUGAUGCAAAAUGUUAGCAAGAGUCAAUAAUGUUGAAACAGAUUUACAAAUUCGCAAACGAAACAAGUAGACCAAUAGCAAUGAAUGGCACACGGAAACACACACGCGGAUAGAUAGAUGGGGUCGUGCAACCAAGGAAUGAGCACAAAAUAUGGAAUCCACAAAAAACGCUCGUGUUGCACAACUCAAGAGAGACGCUAGCACGAUUGCUUAAAAGGCGGAUACGACACUUGUGCACAACCUAUAAGAUGCAAAAUGUAGCAACUUUCUAUCCCAAGUAUGCUAUGUAUGUAUGGUUCCCAGUGUUUCUCACAAGAUGAUCCAAGAUGAUCGGAUAUGACAAUCUUAUAUGUAAUGUGGUAUGAUGCUAUGGCACUUGCUUACAAGCUUCUUUGCUCUUUCUCUUUUUCUUUUGCUUAAAAGCUUAUUCCUUUUUUUGUAUGGCCACUUUUGCACAAUGCACAAACCAAGAUAGCAAUAGUGUAUAUGCGGGAACAAACUUGUGACGCAAGAGAUAAUAUGAUACCAAGAUGACACCAAUAUGAUAUGGUAUGUAUGCAAUGGAAGGUGUAGACAAAUGAUCACUAAUGUGCACAAGUAACGUUGCCGGCAAUACUCAAUGACUAGUCUCGAUAGGCAAGUGAUGCAAAAUGGGCUAGGGGUUAACAAUACAAAGGCAAGGAGAAUGUACAAUGAUGUCGUCGAGGUUACCGUCCGUGUCAAUGAUGAGAGGCGGUGUUGUCGAUGUUGACCCAUUCCUAAUUAGCCGAAACACCUUAGGAAACGGAAAAACCGUAAACUCAAAAUCUCAAACAUCAAAUGUCAAAUGAUGGUAGCGGAAAGCGAUGGUAGUUUGCACUUGGCAAUGCAGAAGUGGAAUGAUGGUCUAUACACGUGUCGGAGUUGAAGUUGCCGUCCCUAAGUAGCCGAAACACCUUAGGAGACACAAGCCACAACUCAAACGAGCUCAAACAACAAUUGAAUUAAGUUGGGGUGGCGAAAGUGUAUGGUGGGCAAUGGGUAUGCGGAAGUGGAGGUGAUGGUUGAUUAAGAAGCAACCGUCCCUAAGUAGUCUAAACACCUUAGGAGACUCGAAUCGCUACUCAAGCAACCACUAAUGCUAUGGUGAACAAAAUGGGUUAGGUUGCGGAAGUCGGUGGUGGUACAGUGGAGGAUGUGGUGGAAGCCCUAGGCAAAUAUGCCAAAGUACCAAACAUUUGAUGGGGUCAAAUGGUGUUGGUGGUAUUUUUGUGGGAUAGGGCAUGUCAAUAGCUUCAAAACGAGCUAAAGAACGUCAAAAUCGGAGUUCGGAUGAAUUAGUUAUGGGCAAAACAAAAAUCAACCGAAGUCAGUUUUCACAGGGGUCGGACGUCCGAUAAUGGUCGGACGACCGGUGGCUGGAACGCGGGACGGACGUGCAGAAAUGGCCGGAAAUCCGAUGUUUUGGUACUGGAUCGAGGGUGUCGGACGUCCGGUAAGUGUCGGUCAUCCGAUGGUUCCAGGGGCUCUGGACGUCCGGAAAAACGUCGGUCGUCCGGUGGGUCAGGGUCAACUCGAGAUCCGAGUUUCGGGACACGAUUUUGGGCGGAAAAUGGAGAUUUCAGGGCCACAAUUGAUGAGAUUUCGUGGAUGGAAAGAUGGGGAAACUUGGGAAGAUGCUAUAGCCACUUGAAACCAAGCAAAUUCAUGGAUCACAAUCAACAAAACAUCAUCAAACCAAGAAAUCACAAAAAAAAAUUGGAGCUAUUUUUUAUGGGCAUUUUCGAAAUUGGGGAAGAACACAACAAAACUAAGCUAGAAAACACGGGGUAGGGGCUCCAAAUACGUGAUCAACGUGGCUCAUGAUAGCAAGAUGAUGUAGUGUAGAACCCUAGAUGCCCGAUCUUCCACGAUUGGAGGGAUCCUAUGAAGAACACGAGGGGGAAAACGAGGGGAACACGAGGGAAACAAGAGAGAAAUCGCUCAACCAACAAGGUAUGGUUACACAUGUGCUAGAUCCUCGAAACACAAAGAGAGAUACACGAUUCAAACUCAAUAAGGGGCGAUACAAGGGGUCUUCUCCGUGAGGAGGUCUUGAAGGGUCUUCCCGUAAAGGGUCUUGAAUCUGCUUGGGGGAUCUUCUCCGAAGAGGCGCUCGGCUCCGAUGGAGAAGUAACCAAGUGGAUGAGCAAAGCUCUAUCUCAAAUAUGAGCUAUCACAAUGCUAACCCUAACCUGGAGGAGGUGGAGGAGUAUAUAUAGUCUAGGUCCAUGAAGGGGUAAGUGGGAGAGGGAUACAUGGGACUCAGGCCCGAUCUCUGUGCGCAGACACGCGUCGAACGUCCGGCAGCUGCCGGUCGUCCGGUCGCUCGCGAGCGUCCGGUCGUCCGAAAGUUCGGAAGUCUUCGGACUUCCGAUGUUUUGGCUCUAAUCCGGUAGUGUCGGACAUCCGGUCGGCGUCGGUCAUCCGGGCGCAGAUGAGUGUCGGACGUCCGGUGUCGGGCAGUCGUCCGGGCGCUGAUGAGUGUCGGACGUCCGGUGUCGGGUGUUGGAGAACGUAGUAAUUUCAAAAAAAUUCCUACGCACACACAAGAUCAUGGUGAUGCAUAGCAACGAGAGGGGAGAGUGUUGUCCACAUACCCUCGUAGACCGAAAGCGGAAGCGUUAGAACAACGCGGUUAAUGUAGUCGUACGUCUUCACGGCCCGACCGAUCAAGCACCGAAACUACGGCACCUCCGAGUUCUAGCACACGUUCAGCUCGAUGACGAUCCCCGGACUCCGACCCAGCAGAAUGUCGGGAAAGAGUUCCAUCAGCACGACGGCGCGGUGACGAUCUUGAUGUUCUACCGUCGCAGGGCUUCGCCUAAGCACCGCUACAAUAUUAUCGAGGACUAUGGUGGAGGGGGGCACCGCACACGGCUAAGAGAUCAAGAGAUCAAUUGUUGUGUCUUAGAGGUGCCCCCUGCCCUCGUAUAUAAAGGAGCCAAGGGGGAGGGGGCGGCCGGCCAAGGAGGGGCGCGCCAAGGGGAGUCCUACUCCCACCGGGAGUAGGACUCCCUUCUUUCCUAGUUGGAAUAGGAGAAGGGGGGAAGGAGGAGGGAGAGAGGAAGGAAAGGGGGGGGGGCGCCCCCCUCUCUUUGUCCUAUUCGGACUAGGGGGGAGGGGAGCGCGGCCCAGCCCUUGCCUCCUCUCCUCCUCUCCACUAGGGCCCAUGUAGGCCCAUUAAGCCCCCGGGGGGUUCCGGUAACCUCCCGGUACUCCGGUAAAAUCCCGAUUUCACCCGGAACACUUCCGAUAUCCAAAUAUAGGUUUCCAAUAUAUCAAUCUUCAUGUCUCGACCAUUUCGAGACUCCUUGUCACGUCCGUAAUCUUAUCCGGGACUCCGAACAAACUUCGGUACAUCAAAACUCAUAAACUCAUAAUAUAACUGUCAUCGAAACCUUAAGCGCGAGGACCCUACGGGUUCGAGAACUAUGUAGACAUGACCGAGACUCGUUUCCGAUCAAUAACCAAUAGCGGAACCUGGAUGCUCAUAUUGGUUCCUACAUAUUCUACGAAAAUCUUUAUCGGCCGGACCGCAUAACAACAUAUGUUGUUCCCUUUGUCAUCGGUAUGUUACUUGCCCGAGAUUCGAUCGUCGGUAUCCAAUACCUAGUUCAAUCUCGUUACCGGCAAGUCUCUUUACUCGUUACGUAAUGCAUCAUUCCGUAACUAACUCAUUAGCUACAUUGCUUGCAAGGCUUAUAUUGAUGUGCAUUACCGAGAGGGCCCAGAGAUACCUCCCCGAUAGUCGGAGUGACAAAACCUAAUCUCGAAAUACGCCAACUCAACAUGUACCUUUGGAGACACCUGUAGAGCUCCUUUAUAAUCACCCAGUUACGUUGUGACGUUUGGUAGCACACAAAGUGUUCCUCUGGUAAACGGGAGUUGCAUAAUCUCAUAGUUGUAGGAACAUGUAUAAGUCAUGAAGAAAGCAAUAGCAACAUACUAAACAAUCAAGUGCUAAGCUAACGGAAUGGGUCAUGUCAAUCACAUCAUUCUUCUAAUGAUGUGAUCCCGUUAAUCAAAUGACAACUCAUGUCUAUGGUUAGGAAACAUAACCAUCUUUGAUUAAUGAGCUAGUCAAGUAGAGGCAUACUAGUGACAUUAAGUUUGUCUAUGUAUUCACACAUGUAUCAUGUUUUCGGUUAAUACAAUUCUAGCAUGAAUAAUAAACAUUUAUCAUGAAAUAAGGAAAUAAAUAAUAACUUUAUUAUUGCCUCUAGGGCAUAUUUCCUUCAGUCUUCCACUUGCACUAGAGUCAAUAAUCUAGUUCACAUUGCCAUGUGAUUUAACACCAAUAUUCAUAUCUGUAUAUGAUUAACACUCAUAGUUCACAUCGUCAUGUGACCAACACCCAAAGGGUUUACUAGAGUCAAUAAUCUAGUUCACAUAACUAUGUGAUUAACACCCAAAGAGUACUGAGGUGUGAUCAUGUUUUGCUCAUGAGAGAAGCUUAGUCAACGGGUCUGUCACAUUCAGAGCCGUAUGUAUUUUGCAAAUAUUCUAUGUCUACAAUGCUCUGCACGGAGCUACUCUAGCUAAUUGCUCCCACUUUCAAUAUGUAUCCAGAUUGAGACUUAGAGUCAUCUGGAUCAGUGUAAAAGCUUGCACCGAUGUAACUCUUUACGAUGGGCUCUUUUAUCACCUCCAUAAUCGAGAAAUAUUUCCUUAGUCCUUACUAAGGAUAUUCUUGACCAAUGUCCAGUGAUCUACUCCUAGAUCACUAUUGUACUCCCUUGCCAAAUAUAGAGCAAGGUAUACAAUAGGUCUGGUACAUAGCAUAGCAUACUUUAUAGAACCUAUGAUUGAGUCAUAGGGAAUGACUUUCAUUCUCUUUUCUAUUUUCUGCCGUGGUCGGGAUUUGAGUCUUACUCAAUUUCACACCUUUGAAACACAGGCAAUAACUCUUUCUUUGCCCGAUCCAUUUUGAACUUUUUCAAAACUUUAUCAAGGUAUGUGCUUUGUGGAAGUCCAAUCAAGCGUCUUGAUCUAUCUCUAUAGAUCUUGAUGCCCAAUAUGUAAGCAGCUUCACCGAGCUCUUUCAUCGAAAAACUUUUAUUCAAGUAUCCCUUUAUGCUAUCCAAAAAUUCUAUAUCAUUUACAAUUAACAAUAUGUCAUCUACAUAUAAUAUCAGAAAUGCUACAGAGCUCCCACUCACUUUCUUGUAAAUACAGGCUUCUCCAAAAGUCUGUAUAAAACCAUAUGCUUUGAUCACACUAUCAAAGCGCUUAUUCCAACUCCGAGAUGCUUGCACCAGUCCAUAAAUGGAUCGCUGGAGCUUGCACACUUUGUUAGCACCUUUUGGAUCGACAAAACCUUCUGGUUGCAUCAUAUACAACUCUUCUUUAAUAAAUCCAUUAAAGAAUGCAGUUUUGACAUCCUUUUGCCAGAUUUCAUAAGAUGUGGCAAUUGCUAACAUGAUUCGGACAGACUUUAAGCAUUGAUACGAGUGAGAAAAAAACUCAUCGUAGUCAACAUCUUGAACUUUGUCAAAAACCUUUUUCGACAAAUCUAGCUUUGUAGAUAGUAACACCACUAUCAACGUCCGUCUUCCUCUUGAAGAUCCAUUUAUUUUCUAUGGCUUGCCGAUCAUCGGGCAAGUCAAUCAAAGUCCACACUUUGUUCUCAUACAUGGAUCCCAUCUCAGAUUUCAUGGCCUCAAGCCAUUUUGCGGAAUCUGGGCUCAUCAUCACUUCCUCAUAGUUCGUAGGUUCGCCAUGGUCAAGUAACAUGACUUCCAGAAUAGGAUUACCGUACCACUCUGGUGCGGAUCUUACUAUGGUAGACCUACGAGGUUUGGUAGUAACUUGAUCUGAAGUUUCAUGAUCAAUAUCAUUAGCUUCCUCACUAAUUGGUGUAGUUGUCACAAGAACCGGUUCUUGUGAUGAACUACUUUCCAAUAAGGGAGCAGGCACAGUUACCUCAUCAAGUUCUACUUUCCUCCCACUCACUUAUUUCGAGAGAAACUCCUUCUCUAGAAAGGAUCCAAAUUUAGCAACAAAAAUCUUGCCCUCAAAUCUGUGAUAGAAGGUGUACCCAAUAGUCUCUUUUGGGUAUCCUAUGAAGACACAUUUCUCUGAUUUGGGUUCGAGCUUAUCUGGUUGAAGUUUCUUCACAUAAGCAUCGCAGCCCCAAACUUUAAGAAACGACAACUUUGGUUUCUUGCCAAACCACAGUUCAUAAGGCGUCGUCUCAACGGAUUUUGAUGGUGCCCUAUUUAACGUGAAUGCGGCCGUCUCUAAAGCAUAACCCCAAAACGAUAGCGGUAAAUCAGUAAGACACAUCAUAGAUCGCACCAUAUCUAGUAAAGUAUGGUUACGAUGUUCGGACACACCAUUUCGUUGUGGUGUUCCGGGUGGCGUGAGUUGCGAAACUAUUCCGCAUUGCUUCAAAUGUAAACCAAACUUGUAACUCAAAUAUUCUCCUCCACGAUCAGAUCAUAGAAAUUUUAUUUUCUUGUUACAAUGAUUUUGCACUUCACUCUGAAAUUCUUUGAACUUUUCAAAUGUUUCAGACUUGUGUUUCAUCAAGUAGAUAUACCCAUAUCUGCUCAAAUCAUCUGUGAAGGUGAGAAAAUAAUGAUACCCGCCGCGAGCCUUAAUAUUCAUUGGACCACAUACAUCAGUAUGUAUGAUUUCCAACAAAUCAGUUGCUCGCUCCAUAGUUCCGGAGAACGGCGUUUUAGUCAUCUUGCCCAUGAGGCACGGUUCGCAAGUACCAAGUGAUUCAUAAUCAAGUGAUUCUAGAAGUCCAUCAGUAUGGAGUUUCUUCAUGCGCUUUACACCAAUAUGACCCAAACGGCAGUGCCACAAAUAAGUUGCACUAUCAUUAUCAACUCUGCAUCUUUUGGCUUCAACAUUAUGAAUAUGUGUAUCACUACUAUCGAGAUUUAAUAAAAAUAGACCACUCUUCAAGGGUGCAUGACCAUAAAAUAUAUUACUCAUAUAAAUAGAACAACCAUUAUUCUCUGAUUUAAAUGAAUAACCGUCUCACAUCAAACAACAUCCAGAUAUAAUGUUCAUGCUUAACGCUGGCACCAAAUAACAAUUAUUCAGGUCUAAAACUAAUCCCGAUGGUAGAUGUAGAGGUAGCGUGCCGAACGCAAUCACAUCGACUUUGGAACCAUUUCCCACGCGCAUCGUCACCUCGUCCUUAGCCAAUCUUCGCUUAAUCCGUAGUCCCUGUUUCGAGUUGCAAAUAUUAGCAACAAAACCAGUAUCAAAUACCCAGUUGCUACUGUGAGCAUUAGUAAGGUACACAUCAAUAACAUGUAUAUCACAUAUACCUUUGUUCACUUUGCCAUCCUUCUUAUCUGCCAAAUACUUGGGGCAGUUCCGCUUCCAGUGUCCAGUCUGCUUGCAGUAGAAGCACUCAGUUUCAGGCUUAGGUCUAGACUUGGGUUUCUUCUCUUGAGCAGCAACUUGUUUGCUGUUCUUCUUGAAGUUCCCCUUCUUCUUCCCUUUGCCCUUUUUCUGGAAACUGGUGGUCUUAUUGACCAUCAACACUUGAUGCUCAUUCUUGAUUUCUACCUCCGCAACUUUUAGCAUUGCGAAGAGCUCGGGAAUAGUCUUGUCCAUCCCUUGCAUAUUAUAGUUCAUCACGAAGCUCUUGUAGCUUGGUGGCAGUGAUUGAAGAAUUCUGUCAAUGACACUAUCAUCAGGAAGAUUAACUCCGAGUUGAAUCAAGUGAUUAUUAUACCCAGACAUUUUGAGUAUAUGUUCACUGACAGAACUAUUCUCCUCCAUCUUACAACUAUAGAACUUAUUGGAGACUUCAUAUCUCUCAAUCCAGGAAUUUGCUUGAAAUAUUAACUUCAACUCCUGGAACAUCUCAUAUGCUCCAUGACGUUCAAAACGUCGUUGAAGACCCGGUUCCAAGCCGUAAAGCAUGGCACACUGAACUAUCGAGCAGUCAUCAGCUUUGCUCUGCUAGACGUUCUUAACGUCGUCAGUUGCAUCUACAACAGGCUUGGCACCCAGCGGUGCUUCCAGGGCGUAAUUCUUCUGUGCAGCAAUGAGGAUAAUCCUCAAGUUACGGACCCAGUCCGUGUAAUUGCUACCAUCAUUUUUCAACUUAGCUUUCUCAAGGAACGCAUUAAAAUUCAACGGAACAACAGCACGAGCCAUCUAUCUAAAACAAACAUAGACAAGCAAAAUACUAUCAGGUACUAAGUUCAUGAUAAAUUUAAGUUCAAUUAAUCAUAUUACUUAAGAACUCCCACUUAGACAGACAUCUCUCUAGUCAUCUAAGUGAUCACGUGAUCCAAAUCAACUAAACCAUGUCCGAUCAUCACGUGAGAUGGAGUAGUUUCAAUGGUGAACAUCACUAUGUUGAUCAUAUCUACUAUAUGAUUCACGUUCGACCUUUCGGUCUCCGUGUUCCGAGGCCAUAUCUGUAUAUGCUAGGCUCGUCAAGUUUAACCUGAGUAUUUCGCGUGUGCAACUGUUUUGCACCCGUUGUAUUUGAACAUAGAGCCUAUCACACCCGAUCAUCACAUGGUGUCUCAGCACGAAGAACUUCCACAACGGUGCAUACUCAGGGAGAACACUUCCUGAUAAUUAUUGAGAGAUCAUCUUAAAAUGCUACCGUCAAUCAAAUCAAGAUAAGAUGCAUAAAGGAUAAACAUCACAUGCAAUCAAUAUAAGUGAUAUGAUAUGGCCAUCAUCGUCUUGUGCUUGUGAUCUCCAUCUCCGAAGCACCGUCGUGAUCACCAUCGUCACCGGCGCGACACCUUGAUCUCCAUCGUAGCAUCAUUGUCGUUACGCCAUCUAUUGCUUCUAUGACUAUUGCUACCGCUUAGUGAUAAAGUAAAGCAAUUACAGGGCGUUUGCAUUUCAUACAAUAAAGCAACAACCAUAUGGCUCCUGCCAGUUGCCGAUAACUUCGGUUACAAAACAUGAUCAUCUCAUACAAUAAAAUAUAGCAUCACAUCUUGACCAUAUCACAUCACAACAUGCCCUACAAAAACAAGUUAGACGUCCUCUACUUUGUUGUUGCAAAUUUUACGUGGCUGCUACGGGCUGAGCAAGAACCGUUCUUACCUACGCAUCAAAACCACAAUGAUAGUUCGUCAAGUUAGUGUUGUUUUAACCUUCGCAAGGACCGGGCGUAGCCACACUCGGUUCAACUAAAGUUGGAGAAACUGACACCCACCAGCCACCUGUGUGCAAAGCACGUCGGUAGAACCAGUCUCGUGUAAGCGUACGUGUAAUGUCGGUCCGGGCCACUUCAUCCAACAAUACCAACGAACCAAAGUAUGACAUGCUGGUAAACAGUAUGACUUGUAUCGCCCACAACUCACUUGUGUUCUACUCGUGCAUAUAACAUCUACGCAUAAAACCAGGCUCGGAUGCCACUGUUGGAGAACGUAGUAAUUUCAGAAAAAUUCCUACGCACACGCAAGAUCAUGGUGAUGCAUAGCAACGAGAGGGGAGAGUGUUGUCCAUGUACCCUCGUAGACCGAAAGCGGAAGCAUCAGAACAACACGGUUGAUGUAGUCGCACGUCUUCACGGCCCGACCAAUCAAGCACCGAAACUACGGCACCUCCGAGUUCUAGCACACGUUCAGCUCGAUGACGAUCCCCGGACUCUGACCCAGCAGAAUGUCGGGGAAGAGUUUCGUCAGCAUGACGGCGUGGUGACGAUCUUGAUGUUCUACCGUCGCAGGGCUUCGCCUAAGCACCGCUACAAUAUUAUCGACGACUAUGGUAGAGGGGGGCACCGCACACGGCUAAGAGAUCAAGAGAUCAAUUGUUGUGUCUUAGAGGUGCCCCCUGCCCCCGUAUAUAAAGGAGCCAAGGGGGAGGGGGCGGCCGGCCAAGGAGGGACGCGCCAAGGGGAGUCCUACUCCCACCGGGAGUAGGACUCCCUUCUUUCCUAGUUGGAAUAGGAGAAGGGGGGAAGGAGGAGGGAGAGAGGAAGGAAAGGGGGGGCGCCGCCCCCCUCUCCUUGUCCUAUUCAGACUAGGGGGGAGGGGCGCGUGGCCCAGCCCUUGCCUCCUCUCCUCCUCUCCACUAGGGCCCAUGUAGGCCCAUUAAGCCCCCGGGGGGUUCCGGUAACCUCCCGGUACUCUGGUAAAAUCCCGAUUUCACCCGGAACACUUCCGAUAUCCAAAUAUAGGCUUCCAAUAUAUCAAUCUUCAUGUCUCGACCAUUUCGAGACUCCUCGUCAUGUCCGUAAUCUUAUCCGGGACUCCGAACAAACUUCAGUACAUCAAAACUCAUAAACUCAUAAUAUAACUGUCAUCGAAACCUUAAGCGAGCGGACCCUACAGGUUCGAGAACUAUGUAGACAUGACCGAGACUCGUUUCCGGUCAAUAACCAAUAGCGGAACCUGGAUGCUCAUAUUGGUUCUUGCAUAUUCUACGAAGAUCUUUAUCGGUCAAACCGCAUAACAAUAUACGUUGUUCCCUUUGUCAUCGGUAUGUUACUUGCCCGAGAUUCGAUCGUCGGUAUCCAAUACCUAGUUCAAUCUCGUUACCGGCAAGUCUCUUUACUCGUUACGUAAUGCAUCAUUCCGUAACUAACUCAUUAGCUACAUUGCUUGCAAGGCUUAUAUUGAUGUGCAUUACCGAGAGGGCCCAGAGAUACCUCUCCGACAGUCGGAGUGACAAAACCUAAUCUUGAAAUACGCCAACUCAACAUGUACCUUUGGAGACACCUGUAGAGCUCCUUUAUAAUCACCCAGUUACGUUGUGACGUUUGGUAGCACACAAAGUGUUUCUCUGGUAAACGGGAGUUGCAUAAUCUCAUAGUUGUAGGAACAUGUAUAAGUCAUGAAGAAAGCAAUAGCAACAUACUAAACGAUCAAGUGCUAAGCUAACGGAAUGGGUCAUGUCAAUCACAUCAUUCUUCUAAUGAUGUGAUCCUGUUAAUCAAAUGACAACUCAUGUCUAUGGUUAGGAAACAUAACCAUCUUUGAUUAAUGAGCUAGUCAAGUAGAGGCAUACUAGUGACAUUAAGUUUGUCUAUGUAUUCACACAUGUAUCAUGUUUCCGGUUAAUACAAUUCUAGCAUGAAUAAUAAACAUUUAUCAUGAAAUAAGGAAAUAAAUAAUAACUUUAUUAUUGUCUCUAGGGCAUAUUUCCUUCAUCGGGCGGCCGUCCGGGCACUGUAGGUUGCCUCGGCUGGAGUCGAUUUGGCUGGUGGAGUCUCCAGGCAUCGGCCGUCCGGAGGUCGUUGGACGUCCGAGAUCGGUAGCUUCCUGGCAGCUAUUCCUCUUGUUCCUCGCGCUUGGCGUCCUCGCCGUGUUGUCCAAUGCUCGUAGCUGUUCCAUGGCCUUCCUCUUGGUUCCUGGUCAUGCAUAGCACAUAUGUUUGAGGUAGUAGCCAUGUCUCACAUGUGGAAAGCGAUGGUUCGGAGAGGAGCGAGUUCACCUUGUGUCCAAUGGCGUAUGUUCGAGGUCUCGUCAUAUGUCCUCUUAGGGCUUGGAGAGUAGUCUGAGUGUACAUGGGGAUGAACGUGGGAUGCUCCGCAUCGCAGCGCCUCCAAGGAGGGGAACGACGCCCGUGCGCACUGCCGCCACCGGCCGGUUAACAACUAGGCAUGCCUUCACGCGGAGCAUCUCAGACAUCACCCCCACGCGUUGCAAUAUGAUAGCCCGCUCACCCCCCGUGCAGCAAUCACGAUGUCGCCUCAAGGGAGCCACCACGAACCUAGCCGACAUCCAAGCCGGACCAUCAUCUGGCGCCCACCACCGUUGCACCACCACACUACAACUGACGAGCACCACCAGAGCCGGGAGGAAGGGCUGCCACCCCUUCCCAAACCCGCUGAAACCAACCCACCGCACCCGCAUCGCCAAAUCCACCACCGGAGCCUCCAGCCGCCACAAGAGGGCUGGAUCUAGCCGACUCCGCCCGGAUCUAACUAGCCGCAUCGCCGCCAUGGUUUUACAUAGUGAAUAACAUGAUGGUAGCGGAUUGCGGUGCACAUAGCGGAAUGCGGAUAGUGGGAGAUAUUGCGCACGCUAUGUCCGUGUAGCGGAUUUGUAAAAACACUGAUUAUUGUGUAUAUUUCUAGACCAUUAACAAAAUGUAGUGACAUUUAAUUUGAUCAGGACGCUAUUGCGCUAGCUCUAUUGUGGACGCAAUAGCGGAUGCUAUAUUUGGUAUUUGAAACUAUGAUCGCCGCAGAAGCUUCCACCAGACGCCGGCCGAAGCAGACAUGGGGAGACUGAUACGUCUCAAACGUAUCUAUAAUUUAUGAAGCAUUCAUGCUACUUUAUUACCUGUUUUGAAUGAUUACGGGCUUUAUUAUACACUUUUAUAUUACUUUUGGGACUAACCUACUAACUGGAAGCCCAACCCAUAUUGUUGUCUUAUUGCCUGUUUCAAUAUUUCGAAGAAAAGGAAUAUCAAACGGAGUCCAAACGGAAUGAAACCUUCGAUAGCGUGAUUUUUGGAACGAACAUGACCCAGGAAACUUGGAGUGCAAGGCGGGGAAGCGUCGAGGAAGCCACAAGAUAGGGGGGCGCGCCCACCCCCCUGGGCGCGCCCUCCACUCUUGUGGGCCCCUCGAGGCUCCCCCGACUGACUUCUUUCGCCUAUAUAAGCCUACGUACCCUAAAAACAUCGAGACAGAAGAUAGAUCGGGAGUUCCGCCACCGCAAGCCUCUGUAGCCACCAAAAACCUCUUGGGAGCCCAUUCCGGCACCCUGCCGGAGGGGGGGAUCCCUCACCGGUGGCCAUCUUCAUCAUCCCGGUGCUAUCCAUGACGAGGAGGGAGUAGUUCACCCUCGGGGCUGAGGGUAUGUACCAGUAGCUAUGUGUUUGAUCUCUCUCUCUCUCUCUCUCUCUCUCUCUCUCUCUUUCUCUCUCGUGUUCUCUCUAUGGCACGAUCUUGAUGUAUCGCGAGCUUUGCUAUUAUAGUUGGAUCUUAUGAUGUUUCUCCCCCCUCUACUCUCUUGUGAUGAAUUGAGUUUUCCCUUUGAAGUUAUCUUGUCGGAUUGAGUCUUUAGUGAUUUGAGAACACUUGAUGUAUGUCUUGCCGUGCUUAUCUGUGGUGACAAUGGGAUAUCACGUGCCACUUGAUGUAUGUUUUGGUGAUCAACUUGCGGGUUCCGCCCAUGAACCUAUGCAUAGGGGUUGGCACACGUUUUCAUCUUGACUCUCCGGUAGAAACUUUGGGACACUCUUUGAAGUAAUUUGUGUUGGUUGAAUAGAUGAAUCUGAGAUUGUGUGAUGCAUAUCGUAUAAUGAUGCCCACGGAUACUUGAGGUGACAAUGGAGUAUCUAGGUGACAUUAGGGUUUUGGUUGAUUUGUGUCUUAAGGUGUUAUUCUAGUAUGAACUCUUGAAUAGAUCGAUCCGAAAGAAUAACUUUGAGGUGGUUUCAUACCCUACCAUAAUCUCUUCGUUUGUUCUCUGCUAUUAGUGUCUUUGGAGUGACUCUUUGUUGCAUGUUGAGGGAUUGUUAUAUGAUCUAUCUAUGUUAUUAUUCUUGAGAGAACUUGCACUAGUGAAAGUAUGAACCUUAGGCCUUGUUUCCUACCAUUGCAAUACCGUUUACGCUCACUUUUAUCAUUGGUUACCUUGCUGUUUUUAUAUUUUCAGAUUACAAAAACCUUUAUCUAGCAUCCAUAUUGCACUUGUAUUACCAUCUCUUCGACGAACUAGUGCACCUAUACAAUUUACCAUUGUAUUGGAUGUGUUGGGGACACAUGAGACUCUUUGUUAUUUGGUUGCAGGGUUGCUUGAGAGAGACCAUCUUCAUCCUAUGCCUCCCACGGAUUGAUAAACCUUAGGUCAUCCACUUGAAGGAAAUUUGGUAUUGUCCUACAAACCUCUGCACUUGGAGGCCCAACAACGUCUACAAGAAGGUUGUGUAGUAGACAUCAAGCUCUUUUCUAGCGCCGUUGCCGGGGAGGUGACUGCUUGAAGGUAUAUAUUUAGAUCUUGCAAUCAAAUUUGUUUGUUUCUUGUUUUAUCACUAGUUUAGUUUAUAAAGGAAAACUACAAAAAAUGGAGUUAAGUUUGUCUCAUACGCUUCGUCUUUUUAAUAUCUUUCGUGAGUAUGAUGAAAAGGAAAAUUGUGCUCAAGUGCUAGAAGAAGAAAUCUAUAGAAAGUUUGAUACUAAAUCUUUGAAUGAUGAGCAUGAUUGCAAUGUUGUUAGUAUGAACUCCUUGAACAUCCAUAGUACUAAUGAUGAUUGCACUAGUUAUGAUGAAAAUGUCUCCUAUAAGCAUGUCGAUUUUUGUGGAGAGCAUUGGGUUUGCAUGGACACACCAAAUAGAGAAAAUAGAUAUUGCAAGAGGCAUAAGUAUUUAGAAACUAAAUUGUUGCAAGAAAGACUUGAUGAUUGUGCUGAAAGAUUCAAUAUUUUUCGCGCUCCUUGUGAACUUUGCAAUGAACAUGGUCAUUUAAAUCUCCAAUGCAAACUGUUUCAUGAUUAAAUCGUGUCCAAAAAUUGUGAUAGCUUGAUUACCCUUGGGCAUCAUAAAGAGCUUAGUCUUCUUUUGGGGUAUGAAGAAAUGAAACGUAUAAUUGAGGGUUUUCCAAAAUUUAAUUUUGAUAGAUUUCUUGAUUUUGAUCUAGAGAAGAUUUAUGUGUAUUGUGCGGUGAAUUGCAUUGAAAAUCCUUAUAUUGCCAAUUACCUAAAGAAAAGAAAGCAAAUAUAAGAUGAUGAGAAUACUAAUUAAAGGGAAGAGACUUCCCAAUAUCCUCCUAUUAUUUCUUAUGAUGAAUCAGGUAACGAGGAGGAGCUUUCUAUUCAACCAAUCUCGUCAAUAAGGAGCUCAAAGAGGAAGGUUGAACCCACAAAUAAUAUGAAGAAGAAAAAGAAAAGAAGGAGCAACAAAGGUAUAAAGGUAUCCCUCCCAAAUGAUGUUGCUCCUACUACUCAUUGUGAUGAUGAUAAUUGCUAUACUAUUGGUGCUAUCCAUAUUUUUAAUGACGAGAGCGAUUAUGCUUAUGAUAUGAAAGGGCCCAAGCUUGGGGAAGCUAUGUUUGAUGAGGAUGAAAUAUUUGAGAAUAUAUUUGCUGAAAUUAAUGUUUGUCCCAAGCUUGGGUAUGCUAUGUUUAAUGAAGAUGAUAUUUUUAGCAUCCCAAGUUUUGAUAUGCAAAGUUGUUAUGAUGAUAGCAUGCCUCUUACCUAUGAUGAUUAUAUUGAUGAAAGUGGGUUUGGAAGAGUGUCAACUUUAGGAAGUAGUGAUCCCACUAUUUUGGAGGAUGUUAAAUUUUAUUGUGAUGAAUACGAAAGUGGAUUUGGAAGAGUGUCAACUUUAUUUAGUGAUUCCACUAUCUUGGGAGAGGUUUCAAUCGAUUAUGAUGAGAAGGAAGUUGCUACUUAUGAUGAUUAUUGUGAUGAAACUUAUGCUAUAAAAAUUAGUGAUGAUUAUAUUUACAAAUCUUGUCAUGAUUAUGAUUACCCUUUUUCUGAACAUUACUCUUUUAAUGUGGAAACAAUUUUUAGUGUUCAAGUCUCUUAUGAUACUCCCACUAUUCCGAAUGAGAAGAAUUUUGCUUAUGUAGAGAGUAGUAAAAAUUCUAUGCUUGUAGAUCAUGAAAAGAAUGCUUUAGGUGCUGGUUAUAUUGUUGAAUUCAUUCAUGAUGCUACUGAAAAUUAUUAUGAGGUAGGAACAUAUGCUUGUAGGAAUUGCAAUAAUAUCAAGUUUCCUGUCUAUGUGUUGAAAAUCUUGAAGCUAUGCUUGUUUUACCUUCCUAUGCUAGUUGAUUAUUGUUCCAUAAGUUGUUUUAUCACAAAAUCCCUAUGCAUAGGAAGUGGGUUAGACUCAAAUGUGCUAGUCAUAUGCUUCAUGAUGCUCCCGUUAUGUUUCAAUUCUUAUCUGUUUUGUGAGCAUCAUUGUCAUCAUCUUGCCUAGCUAGAAAGGCAUUAAAGAAAAGCGCUUGUUGGGAGACAACCUAAUUUUUACCCCUACUGUUUUUGUGUGUCCACAUUAUUAUGAUACUGUAAUAAUCAUGUUUUAUAGCUUUUGUUUCAAUAAAGUGCCAAGUAAGACCUUUAGAAUAGCUUACGUUGAUAGUUGUGUUGAUCCUGCUGAGAAUCAGAAACUUUUGCACCCAGUAAAUUAGUUUUGUUAAUUCACAGAAAUGUUAUGCUGACCUGAUUAUUUUUGAUAUGGAUUGGUACACAAAUUUCUCAGGACUUCCUAAUUUGGUAGGCUUUUUGGAGUUCCAUAAGUAUACGUUUGAUACAGAUUACUACAGACUGUUCUGUUUUUGACAGAUUCUGUUUUCCAUGUGUCGUUUGCUUAUUUUGAUGAAUCUAUGAGUAGUAUCGGAGGGUAUGAACCAUAGAUAAGUUUGAAUACAGUAGAUGUUACACCUAUAUGAAUUUAGAAUGAGUUCAUUACAGUACCUAAGUGGUGGUUUUAUUUUCUUAUACUAACGGAGCUUACGAGUUUUCUAUUGAGUUUUGUGUUGUGAAGUUUUCAAGUUUUGGGUAAAGAUUCGAUGGACUAUGGAAUAAGGAGUGGCAAGAGCCUAAGCUUGGGGAUUCCCAAGGCACCCCAAGCUAAUAUUCAAGGACAACCAAGAGCCUAAGCUUGGGGAUGCCCCGGAUGGCAUCCCCUCUUUCGUCCUCGUUCAUCGGUAACUUUACUUGGAGCUAUAUUUUUAUUCACCACAUGAUAUGUGUUUUGCUUGGAGCGUCAUUUUCUCUUGUUAGUAUUUGCUUUAUGUUAUUUAGAAUAAUGUUUUGCAUCUAUAUUUCCAAUAAAAAGUCAAGUAUAGCCUUUACCUUGCUUAUUUUGCUAGUAUACAUGUUGCUGUUUGAAAACAGAAAGUUUACCGCCGUUGCGAAAACUCCCUAGAAAAGUCGGAGAAUGAUAUAAUGUUGAAACCUUUUGCAUAAUAAGCUCUGAUAAAUUUACUACAGUGGGAAUUUUAUUUCAUAAUUUUUGGAGUUAGGGAAGUAUGCUGAAUCUUGCAUUCUUUACAGACUGUACUGUUUUGACAGAUUGUUGUUAUGGUUGCAUUGUUUGCAUAUGUUUGCUUGUUUAAUGAUUCUAUUUGAUGAUAGGAGUAUUAAAUAUGCAGAGGCAUUUAGUAUGGAAUGUUGAAUAAUAAUUUUAGUGAUUUGUUACAGUAGAAAACGAUAAGGUUUUGCAUUGGUUUAUACUAACUUAUCUCACGAGUUCUUGUUGAGUUUUAUGUGGAUGAAGUUUUUGGGAAAUAGAGAAACCAUGAUAUGAGAGGAAUUAAGGAGACACAAAAGUUCAAGCUUGGGGAUGCCCAAGGCACCCCAAGAUAAUAUUUCAAGAAGUCUCAAGCAUCUAAUCUUGGGGAUGCCCCGGUAGGCAUCCCACCUUUCUUCUUCAACAACUAUCGGUUAGUAUCGGUUGAACCUAAGUUUUUGCUUCUUCACAUGAGUUGUGCUAUCCUUGCAAUGUCAUUUUGUUUUGUUUGCUGUUUGAAUAAAAUACCAAGAUCUGAAAUUCUUUAAUGAGAGAGAGUCUUCACAUAGUUACAUAAUUAUUUGGCUACUCAUUGAUCUUCACUUAUAUCUUUUGGAGUAGUUUGUCAUUUACUCGUGUGCUUCACUUAUAUCCUAUGAGUAAAUGGUUGAAUGAGUUGAAUGUCAAAAAUCUGAAAUUAUAUAUGUUUCAUUUGCUUAUCCCAUGGGGAGUAAUGACUUCACAUCUAAGAAGUAGAGGUUGUAAGUUUAUUGAAGGUUAGCAAGCAUUGUAUUGGUCAUUGAACAAUUCAUGAAAGAAUAUUGAAGGAAGAGGGAUUUCACAUAUAAAUAUACUAUAUUAGACAUCUUUUAUAAUUGUGAGCACUCAUUAAGUAUGACAUGCUAAAGAGUUGAUGUUGGACAAGGAAGACAACUUAAUGGGUUAUGUUUUCUCACAUCUUAGUUGAAGUAUAUUGUCAUGGAUCAUUUAAACAUGUUGAGCUUGCCUUUCCCCCUCAUGCUAGCCAAAUUCCUUGCACCAAGUAGAGAUACUACUUGUGCUUCCAAAUAUCCUUAAACCCAAUUUUUGCCAUGAGUGUCCACCAUACCUACCUAUAUGCGGUAUUUACCUGCCGUUCCAAGUAAAUUUGCAUGUGCCAAACUCUAAACCUUCAAAUAAUAAUCUGUUUUGUAUGCCCGAAUUGCUCAUGUAGCGACUAGGGGCUAUCAGUAUCUUCCGUGCUAUGUGGGUUAUUCUCAAGAUGAGUGGACUCCGCUCAUCAUGCACGUGAAAAAUGGCUGGUAACCGGGAUGCCCAGUCCCAUGAUCAAAAGAUCAAAAUCAAAUCAAAAAUAAUUGCAAACAAAACUCCCCCAGGUUUGAUGUUAGUUGGAGGCACCCGUUGUUUCGGGUAAGCCAUGGAUUGAUGAUUGUUGGUGGAGGGGGAGUAAAAACUUUUACCAUUCUGUUUGGGAACCACCUAUAAUAUAUGUAGUAUGGAAGAUAUUGGGAACUCUUGGUUGUUAUGUUGACAAUGAGAUCAUACCUCUCAAAAUUAUUUAUCUCUAUUUCAAAACUGAGCUCUGGCACCUCUGCAAAUCCCUGCUUCCCUCUGCGAAGGGCCUAUCUUUUACUUUUAUGCAAGAGUCAAGGUGAUCUUCACCGUUCCCUUUUUCAUUUUAUCCUUUGGCAAGCACCUCGUGUUGGGAAGAUCCUGAUAUAUAUAUCCAACUGGAUGUAAGUUAGCAUGAACUAUUAUUGUUGACAUCACCCAAAGGUGAAUACGUUGGGAGGCAACACUAUAAGCCCCUAUCUUUCUCAGUGUCCGAUUAAAACUCCAUAACUAUUAGUAUUGUGUGAGUGUUAGCAAUUGUAGAAGACUAUAUGAUAGUUGAGUAUGUGGAGUUUGCUAAAUCAAAGCUCUGACAUAGACCCUUCCUGAAAAUAAGAUGAAUUGUAAUUGUUUGAUAACUAGGAAUGAAGUUUGCUAGUUUAUGGCCAAUGCUUUCAACAUGUGAAUUGCUUGUUACUUGUUCGUGAGAAGUUUUAUGAGUUGAACUACUGUUAUGACAUAUAAUCAUGCUAGAAAAGGUGAUUGAAAUUAUCAUUGAUCAAACUUGUGCACCUUCUAGCAUUCACACUUCAUAAAUUCUUUCUUUUAUCAUUUACCUACUCGAGGACUGAUACGUCUCCAACGUAUCUAUAAUUUAUGAAGCAUUCAUGCUAUUUUAUUACCUGUUUUGCAUGCUUACGAGCUUUAUUAUACACUUUUAUAUUACUUUUGGGACUAACCUAUUAACAGGAGGCCCAGCCCAUAUUGCUAUUUUAUUGCCUGUUUCAGUAUUUUGAGGAAAAGGAAUAUCAAACGGAGUCCAAACGGAAUGAAACCUUCGGCAGCGUGAUUUUUUGGAAGAAUAUGAUCCUGGAGACUUGGAUUUCACGUCAGAAGAUCCUCGAGGAGGCCAGGAGAUAGCCCCCCCCCUACUGGGCAUGCCCCCCUAUCUCGUGGGCCCCUCGAGCACCCCCCCGACCGACUUCUUUUGCCUAUAUAGUCCCACAUACCCUAAAAAUAUCCACGGAGAAGAUAGAUCGGGAGUUCCACCACCGCAAGCCUCUGUAGCCACCAAAAACCUCUCGGGAGCCCGUUCCGGCACCCUGUCGGAGAAGGAAUCCAUCACCGGUGGCUAUCUUCAUCAUCCCGGCGCUAUCCAUGACAAGUAGGGAGUAGUUCACCCUCGGGGCUGAGGGUAUGUACCAGUAGCUAUGUGUUUGAUCUCUCUCUCUCUCUCUCUCUCUCUCGUGUUCUCCCUAUGGCACGAUCUUGAUGUAUCGCGAGCUUUGCUAUUAUAGUUGGAUCUUAUGAUGUUUCUCCCCCUCUACUCUCUUGUGAUGAAUUGAGUUCUCUCUUGAAGUUUUCUUAUCGGAUUGAGUCUUUGAUUUGAGAACACUUGAUGUAUGUCUUGCCGUGUUUAUCUGUGGUGACAAUGGGAUAUCACGUGCCACUUGAUGUAUGUUUUGGUGACCAACUUGCGGGUUCCGCCCAUGAACCUAUGCAUAGGGGUUGGCACACGUUUUCUUGACUCUCCGGUAGAAACUUUGGGGCACUCUUUGAAGUACUUUUGUGUUGGUUGGAUGAAUCUGAGAUUGUGUGAUGCAUAUCGUAUGAUCAUGCCCACGGAUACUUGAGGUGACAAUGGAGUAUCUAGGUGAUAUUAGGGUUUUGGUUGAUUUGUGUCUUAAGGUGUUAUUCUAGUACGAACUCUUGAAUAGAUCGAUCUGAAAGAAUAACUUUGAGGUGGUUUCGUACCCUACCAUAAUCUUUUCGUUUGUUCUCCACUAUUAGUGGCUUUGGAGUGACUCUUUGUUGCAUGUUGAGCGAUUGUUAUAUGAUCUAUCUAUGUUAUUAUUGUUGAGAGAACUUGCACUAGUGAAAGUAUGAACCUUAGGCCUUGUUUCCUAUCAUUGCAAUACCGUUUACGCUCACUUUUACCAUUAGUUACCUUGCUGUUUUUAUUAUUUCAGAUUACAAAAACCUAUAUCUACUAUCUAUAUUGCACUUGUAUCACCAUCUCUUCACCGAACUAGUGCACCUAUACAAUUUACCAUUGUAUUGGGUGUGUUGGGGACACAAGAGACUCUUUGUUAUUUGGUCGCAUGGUUGUUUGAGAGAGACCAUAUUCAUCCUACGCCUCCCACGGAAUGAUAAACCUUAGGUCAUCCACUUGAGGGAAAUUUGCUACUGCCCUACAAACCUCUGCACUUGGAGGCCCAACAACGUCUACAAGAAGAAGGUUGUGUAGUAGACAUCAAGCUCUUUUCUGGCGCCGUUGCCGGGGAGGUGAGUGCUUGAAGGCAUAUCUUUAGUCUUGUAAUUGAAUCCUUUUGUUUCUUGUUUUAUCACUAGUUUAGUUUAUAAAAGAAAACUACAAAAAAAUGGAGUUAAGUUUGUCUCAUACGCUUCGUCUUUUUAAUAUCUUUCGUGAGUUUGAUGGAAAGGAAGAUUGUGCUCAAGUGCUAGAAGAAGAGUGCAUUAAAAUUCUUGGUACUGAAUCUUUGAAUGAUGAGCAUGAUUGCAAUGUUGUUAGUAUGAACUCCUUGAAUAUCCAUAGUACUAAUGAUGAUUGCUCUAGUCAUGAUGAGAAUAUCUCCUAUAAGCAUGCCAACUUUUGUGGAGUGCAUGUUUGCAUGAACACACCAAAUAGAGAAGAUAUAUAUUGCAAGAGGCAUAAGCAUUUAGAAACUAAAUGGUUGCAAGAAAGGCUAAAUGUGAGUGCUGAAAAUUUAAAUUUCCUUUGCCGUACUUGUGAACUUUGCAAUGAACGUGGUCAUUUACAUUUCCGAUGCAAAUUGUUUCAUGAUCAAAUCGUGUCCAAAAAUUGUGAUGAUUUGAUCUCCCUUGCUCAUUAUAAUGAACUUAGUUUGCUUUUGGGUUAUGAAGAAUUGAAACGUUUAAUUAAGGACCUUCCAGAAUUUGCUCAUAAGAAAUUCCUUGAUAUUGAUCUAGGGAAGAUUUAUUUGUAUUGUGCGGUGAAUUGCAUUGAAAAUCCUUAUAUUGCCAAUUACAUAAAGAAAAGAAAGCAAAUAGAAGAUGAUUAGAAUACUAAUGAAAGGGAAGAGACUUCCCAGUAUCCUCCUAUUAUUUCUUAUGAUGAAUCAGGUAACGAGGAGGAGCUUUCUAUUCAACCAAUCUCGUCAAUAAGGAGCUCAAAGAGGAAGGUUGAACCCACACAUAAUGUGAAAAAGAAAAGGAAAAGAAGGGGCAACAAAGGUAAAAAGGUAUCCCUCCCAAAUGAUGUUGCUCCUACUACUCAUUGUGAUGAUGAUAAUUGCUAUACUACUGGUGCUAUCCAUACUAUUAAUGAUGAGAGUGAUUAUGCUUAUGAUAUGAAAAGGCCCAAGCUUGGGGAAGCUAUGUUUGAUGAGGAUGAAAUAUUUGAGAAUAUAUUUGCUGAAAUUAAUGUUUGUCCCAAGCUUGGGGAUGCUAUGUUUAAUGAAGAUGAUAUUUUUAGCAUCCCAAGUUUUGAUAUGCAAAGUUGUUAUGAUGAUAGCAUGCCUCUUACCUAUAAUGAUUAUAUUGAUGAAAGUGGGUUUGGAAGAGUGUUAACUUUAGGAAGUAGUGAUCCCACUAUUUUGGAGGAUAUUGAAUUUUAUUGUGAUGAAUACGAAAGUGGAUUUGGAAGAGUGUCAACUUUAUUUAGUGAUUCCACUAUCUUGGGAGAGGUUUCAAUCGAUUAUGAUGAGAACGAAGUUGCUACUUAUGAUGAUUAUUGUGAUGAAACUUAUGCUAUAAAAAUUAGUGAUGAUUAUAUUUACAAAUCUUGUCAUGAUUAUGAUUACCCUUUUUCUGAACAUUACUCUUUUAAUGUGGAAACAAUUUUUAGUGUUCAAGUCUCUUAUGAUACUCCCACUAUUCCGAAUGAGAAGAAUUUUGCUUAUGUAGAGAGUAGUAAAAAUUCUAUGCUUGUAGAUCAUGAAAAGAAUGCUUUAGGUGCUGGUUAUAUUGUUGAAUUCAUUCAUGAUGCUACUGAAAAUUAUUAUGAGGGAGGAACAUAUGCUUGUAGGAAUUGCAAUAAUGUCAAGUUUCCUCUCUAUGUGCUUCAAGUUUUGAACUUAUGCUUAUUUUAUCUUCCUAUGCUAGUUGAUUAUUGUUCCCAUAAGUUGUUUGCUCACAAAAUCCCUAUGCAUAGGAAGUGGGUUAGGCUUAAAUGUGCUAGUCAUAUGCUUCAUGAUGCUCCCGUUAUGUUUCAAUUCUUAUCUUUUAUGUGAGCAUCAUUGUCAUCAUCAUGCCUAGCUAGAAAGGCAUUAAAGAAAAGCGCUUGUUGGGAGACAACCCAAUAUUUACCUUUACUGUUUUUGUGUGUUCACAUUAUUAAAAUACUGUAGUAAUCAUGUUUUAUAGCUUUUGUUUCAAUAAAGUGCCAAGUAAGACCUUUAGGAUAGCUUACGGUGAUAGUUGUGUUGAUCCUGCUAAGAAUCAGAAACUUUUGCACCCAGUAAAUUUGUUUUGUUAAUUCACAUAAAUGUUAUUCUGACCUGAUUCUUUUUGCUAUGGAUUGGUACACAAAUUUCUCAGGACUUCCUAAUUUGGUAGGCUUUUUGGAGUUCCAUAAGUAUACGUUUGAUACAGAUUACUACAGACUGUUCUGUUUUUGACAGAUUCUGUUUUCCAUGUGUUGUUUGCUUAUUUUGAUGAAUCUAUGAGUAGUAUCGGAGGGUAUGAACCAUAUAUAAGUUUGAAUACAGUAGAUGUUACACCUAUAUGAAUUUAGAAUGAGUUCAUUACAGUACCUAAGUGGUGGUUUUAUUUUCUUAUACUAACGGAGCUUACGAGUUUUCUGUUGAGUUUUGUGUUGUGGAGUUUUCAAGUUUUGGGUAAAGAUUCGAUGGACUAUGGAAUAAGGAGUGGUAAGAGCCUAAGCUUGGGGAUGCCCAAGGCAUCCCAAGGUAAUAUCCAAGGACAACCAAGAGCCUAAGCUUGGGGAUGCCCCGGAAGGCAUCCCCUCUUUCGUCUUCGUUCAUCGGUAACUUUACUUGGAGCUAUAUUUUUAUUCACCACAUGAUAUGUGUUUUGCUUGGAGCGUCAUUUUAUUUUGUUAGUAUUUGUUUUCUGUUCUUUAGAAUAAUGUUUUGCAUCUAUAUUUUCAAUAAAAAUGUCAAGGAUAGCCUUUUCCAUGCUUAUUUUGCUAGUAUACAUGUUGCUGUUUGAAAACAGAAAGUUUACCGCUGUUGUAAAAAUUCCCUAGAAAAGUCAAAGCAUGGUAUAAUGUUGAAACCUUUUGCAUAAUGAGCUCUGAUAAAUUUACUACAGUGGGAAUUUUAUUUCAUAAUUUUUGUAGUUAGGGAAGUAUUGAUACUCUUGCAUUCUUUAAAGACUGUACUGUUUUGACAGAUUGCUGUUAUGUUUGCAUUGUUUGCAUAUGUUUGCUUGUUUAAUGAUUCUAUGUGAGGAUAGGAGUAUUAAAUAUGCAGAGGCAUUUAGUAUGAAAUGUUGAAUAAUAAUUUUAGUGAUUUGUUACAGUAGAAAAUGAUAAGGUUUUGCAUUGGUUUAUACUAACCUAUCUCACAAGUUCUUGUUGAGUUUGGUGUGGAUGAAGCUUUUGAUAAAAAGAGAAACCAUGAUAUGAGAGGAAUUAAGGAGACACAAAAGUUCAACCUUGGGGAUGCCCAAGGCACCCCAAGAUAAUAUUCCAAGAAGUCUCAAGCAUCCAAGGUUGGGGAUGCCCCGGUUGGCAUCCCACCUUUCUUCUUCAACAACUAUCGGUUAGUAUCGGUUGAGCCUAAGUUUUUGCUUCUUCACAUGAGUUGUGCUAUCCUUGCAAUGUAAUUUUAUUUUGUUUUGCUUGCUGUUUGAAUACAAUACCGAGAUCUGAAAUUCUUUAAUGAGAGAGAGUCUUCACAUAGUUACAUAAUUAUUUAGCUACUCAUUGAUCUUCACUUAUAUCUUUUUGGAGUAGUUUGUCAUUUACUCGUGUGCUUCACUUAUAUCCUAUGAGUAAAUUGUUGAAUGAGUUGAUUGUCAUAAAUUUGAAAUUAUAAAUGUUUCAUUUGCUUAUCCCAUGGGGAGUAAUGACUUCACAUCUAAGAAGUAGAGGUUGUAAAUUUAUUGAAGGAUAGCAAGCAUUGUAUUGGUCAUUUGAACAAUUUAUGAAAGAAUAUUGAAGGAAGAGAGAUUUCACGUAUAAAUACACUAUCCUAGACAUCUUUUAUAAUUGGGAGCACUCAUUAAGUAUGACAUGCUAAAGAGUUGAUGUUGUACAAGGAAGACAACAUAAUGGUUUAUGUUUUCUAACAUCUCAGUUAAAGUAUAUUGUCAUGGAUCAUUCAAACAUGUUGAGCUUGCCUUUCCCCCUCAUGCUAGCCAAAAUUCCUUGCACCAAGUAGAGAUACUACUUGUGCUUCCGAAUAUCCUUAAACCCAGUUUUGCCAUGAGAGUCCACCAUACCUACCUAUGGAUUGAGUAAGAUCCUUCAAGUAAGUUGUCAUUGGUGCAAGCAAUAAAAAUUGCUCUCUAAAUAUGUAUGAUCUUUUGGUGUGAAGAAAAUAGCUUUAUACGAUCUUGUUAUGGAAGCAAUAAAAGCGACGGACUGCAUAAUAAAGGUCCAUAUACAAGUGGCAAUAUAAAGUGAUGUUCAUUUGCAUUAAGAUUUUGUGCAUCCAACCCUAAAAGCGCAUGACAACCUCUGCUUCCCUCUGCGAAGGGCCUAUCUUUUACCUUAUGUCUUUUACUUUAUGCAAGAGUCAAGGUGAUCUCCACCUUUCCCUUUUUCAUUUUAUCCUUUGGCAAGCACCUCGUGUUGGGAAGAUCCUGAUAUAUAUAUCCAAUUGGAUGUAAGUUAGCAUGAACUAUUAUUGUUGACAUCACCCAAAGGUGAAUACGUUGGGAUGCAACACUAUAAGCCCCUAUCUUUCUCAGUGUCCGAUUGAAACUCCAUAACCAUUAGUAUUGCGUGAGUGUUAGCAAUUGUAGAAGACUAUAUGAUAGUUGAGGAUGUGGAGUUUGCUAUUCCUGAAAAUAAGAUGAAUUGCAAUUGUUUGAUGACUGAGAAUGAAGUUUGCUAGUUUUCAAGAAAGUUUAUGGUCUAUGCUUUGAUAUGUGAAUUGCUUGUUACUUUAUCGUGAGAAGUUUUAUGAGAUGAACUACUGUUAUGACAUAUUAUCAUGCUAGAAAAGGUGAUUGAAAUUAUCAUUGAUCAAACUUGUGCACCUUCUAGCAUUCACACUUCAUAAAUUCUUUCUUUUAUCAUCUACCUACUCGAGGACGAGUAGAAAUUAAGCUUGAGGAUGCUGAUAUGUCUCCAACGUAUCUAUAAUUUAUGAAGCAUUCAUGCUAUUUUAUUACCUGUUUUGCAUGAUUACGGGAUUUAUUAUACACUUUUAUAUUAAUUUUGGGACUAACCUAUUAACCGGAGGCCCAACCCAUAUUGCUGUUUUAUUGCCUGUUUCAGUAUUUCGAGGAAAAAGAAUAUCAAACAGAGUCCAAACGGAAUGAAACCUUUGGCAGCGUGAUUUUCUGGAAGAAUAUGAUCUUGGAGACUUGGAGUUCACGUCAGAAGAUCCUCGAGGAGGCCAGGAGAUAGGAGGGCGCCCCCCCACUGGGCGCACCCCCUGUCUCAUGGGCCCCUGGAGCAACCCCCGACCGACUUCUUUCGCCUAUAUAGUCCCACGUACCCUAAAAACAUCCACGGAGAAGAUAGACAGGGAGUUCCGCCGCCGCAAGCCUCUGUAGCCACCAAAAACCUCUCGGGAGCCCGUUCCGGCACCCUGCCAGAGAGGGAAUCCAUCACCGGUGGCCAUCUUCAUCAUCCCGGCGCUAUCCAUGACGAGGAGGGAGUAGUUCACGCUCGGGGCUGAGGGUAUGUACCAGUAGCUAUGUGUUUGAUCUCUCUCUCUCUCUCUCUCUCUCUCUCUCUCUCUCUCGUGUUCUCCCUAUGGCACGAUCUUGAUGUAUCGCGAGCUUUGCUAUUAUAGUUGGAUCUUAUGAUGUUUCUCCCCCUCUACUCUCUUGUGAUGAAUUGAUUUUCCCUCUUAAAGUUAUCUUAUCGGAUUGAGUCUUUGAUUUGAGAACACUUGAUGUAUGUCUUGCCGUGUUUAUCUGUGGUGACAAUGGGAUAUCACGCGCCACUUGAUGUAUGUUUUGGUGACCAACUUGUGGGUUCCGCCUAUGAACCUAUGCGUAGGGGUUGGCACACGUUUUCUUGACUCUCCGGUAGAAACUUGCGGGCACUCUUUGAAGUACUUUGUGUUGGUUGGAUGAAUCUGAGAUUGUGUGAUGCAUAUCGUAUGAUCAUGCCCACGGAUACUUGAGGUGACAAUGGAGUAUCUAGGUGACAUUAGGGUUUUUGUUGAUUUGUGUCUUAAGGUGUUAUUCUAGUACGAACUCUUGAAUAGAUCGAUCCGAAAGAAUAACUUUGAGGUGGAUUCGUACCCUACCAUAAUCUCUUCGUUUGUUCUCCGCUAUUAGUGGCUUUGGAGUGACUCUUUGUUGCAUGUUGAGGGAUUGUUAUAUGAUCUAUCUUUGUUAUUAUUGUUGAGAGAACUUGCACUAGUGAUAGUAUGAACCUUAGGCCUUGUUUCCUAUCAUUGCAAUACCGUUUACGCUCACUUUUACCAUUAGUUACCUUGCUGUUUUUAUUAUUUCAGAUUACAAAAACCUAUAUCUACUAUCUAUAUUGCACUUGUAUCACCAUCUCUUCGCCGAACUAGUGCACCUAUACAAUUUACCAUUGUAUCGGGUGUGUUGGGGACACAAGAGACUCUUUGUUAUUUGGUUGCAGGGUUGUUUGAGAGAGACCAUCUUCAUCCUACGCCUCCCACGGAUUGAUAAACCUUAGGUCAUCCACUUGAGGGAAAUUUACUACUGUCCUACAAACCUCUGCAUUUGGAGGCCCAACAACGUCUACAAGAAGAAGGUUGUGUAGUAGACAUCAAGGACGAGAAGGAAUUAAGCUUGGGGAUGCUGAUACGUCUUCACCAUAUCUAUAAUUUAUGAAGCAUUCAUGUUAUUUUAUUAUCUGUUUUGAAUGAUUACGGCCUUUAUUAUACACUUUUACAUUACUUUUGGGACUAACCUACUAACCGGAGGCCCAGCCCAUAUUGCUGUUUUAUUGUCUGUUUCAGUAUUUCGAAAAAAAGGAAUAUCAAAUGGAGUCCAAACGGAAUGAAACCUUCGGCAGCGUGAUUUUUGGAACGAACGUGACCCAGGAAACUUGGAGUGCAAGCCGGGGAAGCGUCGAGGAAGCCACAAGAUAGGGGGGUGGGCCCACCCCCCCUGGGCGCACCCUCCACUCUUGUGGGCCCCUCGAGGCUCCCCCGACCGACUUCUUUCGCCUAUAUAAGCCUACGUACCCUAAAAACAUCGAGACAUAAGAUAGAUCGGGAGUUCCGCCGCCGCAAGCCUCUGUAGCCACCAAAAACCUCUCGGGAGCCCAUUCCCGCACCCUGCCGGAGGGGGGAUCCCUCACCGGUGGCCAUCUGCAUCAUCCUGGCGCUAUCCAUGACGAGGGGGGAGUAGUUCACCCUCGGGGCUGAGGGUAUGUACCAGUAGCUAUGUGUUUGAUCUCUCUCUCUCUCUCUCGUGUUCUCUCUAUGGCACAAUCUUGAUGUAUCGCGAGCUUUGCUAUUAUAGUUGGAUCUUAUGAUGUUUCUCCCCCCUUUACUCUCUUGUGAUGAAUUGAGUUUCCCUUUAAAGUUAUCUUGUCGGAUUGAGUCUUUAAUGAUUUGAGAACACUUGAUGUAUGUCUUGCCGUGCUUAUCUGUGGUGACAAUGGGAUAUCACGUGCCACUUGAUGUAUGUUUUGGUGAUCAACUUGCGGGUUCUGCCCAUGAACCUAUGCAUAGGGGUUGGCACAUGUUUUCGUCUUGACUCUCUGGUAGAAACUUUGGGACACUCUUUGAAGUACUUUGUGUUGGUUGAAUAGAUGAAUCUGAGAUUGUGUGAUGCAUAUCGUAUAAUCAUGCCCACGGAUACUUGAGGUGACAAUGGAGUAUCUAGGUGACAUUAGGGUUUUGGUUGAUUUGUGUCUUAAGGUGUUAUUCUAGUACGAACUCUUGAAUAGAUCAAUCUGAAAGAAUAACUUUGAGGUGGUUUCGUACCCUACCAUAAUCUCUUCGUUUGUUCUCCGCUAUUAGUGGCUUUGGAGUGACUCUUUGUUGCAUGUUGAGGGAUUGUUAUAUGAUCUAUCUAUGUUAUUAUUGUUGAGAGAACUUGCAUUAGUGAAAGUAUGAACCUUAGGCCUUGUUUCCUACCAUUGCAAUACCGUUUACGCUCACUUUUAUCAUUUGUUACCUUGCUGUUUUUAUAUUUUCAGAUUACAAAAACCUUUAUCUACCAUCAAUAUUGCACUUAUAUUACCAUCUCUUCGCCGAACUAGUGCACCUAUACAAUUUAUCAUUGUAUUGGGUGUGUUGGGGACACAAGAGACUCUUUGUUAUUUGGUUGCAGGGUUGCUUGAGAGAGACCAUCUUCAUCCUACGCCUCUCACGGAUUGAUAAACCUUAGGUCAUCCACUUAAGAGAAAUUUGCUACUGUCCUACAACACUUGGAGGCCCAACAACGUCUACAAGAAGAAGGUUGUGUAGUAGACAUCAGAGACCACCUUCACCUGAUGCAGAUGCGGGGAGACCACCUUUGGCAGAAGGGAGGCUGCCACCCUCCCCUGGCCAUCGGCGAGGAUCUAUCGGCCGGAGCCCAUCCCGCACUCGAUAGGGUUGCAGCUCCAGGCGACGCAACAAAUGGGAUCGAGCCUCCCACACCGCGCGCGCCUCCCGCCGAGUGAUGGGAAAAGAAAGCCCCGCCACCGUCGUUCGUCGCGCGGGCUUAGCCCGGCGGCCUCCACCGGCGACGGCGAGGUGAGGGAGGGGACGAGGAGGGCUCGCGGCGGCGACCUGGUGGUUUUCCGGCCGAGCCGCUCGAGAGGCGACGCGGGGGCUUGGCUACACCUAAUUGCGUCAUCACUCUUUGGGGUUGCUCCACUUUGUCCCAGACCGUUGUUCCUUCAUUUGUGGUGUUUUUGAUUGGCUACACGAAGCUCAUACAUGCUCUAGAGGGCCGAUAUUCGGUUGUCAGUAUAGCCGUGCAUUUGACUCCAUGGCACGAUGCUCAAACCAACACCCAAAUUUAGAGGAACGUUCAAAUCGAUCAUUUCAUUAGAUGCAUGCUCGUUGUAGUGCAAUCUACACUACAAGGAAGGAUGUGGGUUGAGGUAAAUACAUGCGAUCAAACAACACACAAAACAGUUCAGAGCCUGCAUACUCUCAAAUAGGCUCCAUUGGCCAGGCUCCCGGGAAAUGUGAAAAACACGGAGACAACCAAACAGGCCAGAAAAAAGGGCAGUGAUCUGCGCCGGUGCGCCGGCCCAACAGUUGGGCCGGUCAAGCCCAGGCCGUCCGAUGCACUGCCUCCCAACCGUCAGGUCGAGCCCUCCUGCAUCAUCGUCUACCUUCCGCGUUGUCUUUUCCCUCGAUAACAAGCGCGAUCGAGACGAGCCACGACAAGCGCCGCGGGCCAUCCCACACACAGCUGUGGGCGUCUACUCGCCGUUCGCCGCUUGCCCUAACCGUCGUCGUCGCCGCUCGCUGGUAGGAGCGCAGGUGCCCCAUGGCCCGCCCCCUCCUAUGGAGCAAAAAAAUGGAUCCAACAAAAAAAAAUCGACCCUGCUGGCCCCUGGAGUUCAUCGUCGUUGCAGCUCCGCCGGGAAGCCACCGCGGUAGCCAGUUGCAUCAAUGGUGAGGUGCCGAUUCAAGCUUUUUGUCACGGUCUCUGGUUGAAGCUUUUCAGAAAUAGGGUUGAAGCUUUUCAAUUUAUGGUUGAAGCUUUCCAAUUCGAUGGUUGUAGCUUUUCCAAUUCUACCAGCUUCACCGCCGGCGUUGGAGCCGGCUAGGGUUGGAGCUACAACCAGCAACUUUUGUUGCUACAACUGACCACACCAGAUGCUGGAACCGGCCGUCUUUUUUGCUACACCCGGUGGGAGCAACGACGGUGACAACUAUUUUUGUUGGAAUAGGCAUCUGGAUUUGCUGGAACCAGUGAUUAAAAUUGCUACAUCCAUGAUGAGUGGGGGUGCGACGGCGAGCUGCGACCAAAGGAAAAAGCUGUAACAGUAUUCUAGGAAAGCUACAACGGUGAUGCACGAGAGCUGCAACCGUGGUUUGUUUUGCUACUACGGGCGACCAAUUUUGCUGCAUCAGUGAUAGCGGGAUGACAUGGCCGCCGACAUGGCGUGCCGCAACCAGGCAAGGGGAGCUGCAACCAUGGCUCGACACCAGGCAUAUCCAUGGCGGCUUCCAACUCAGGCUCACCGGGGCGGGAGGAACUUGCAGCCGGGGGGCAGUGGAGAAGUGGGCAAGGGCCUUGAGGUUGGAGGUAGUGACCUGCACGGGAUUGGGGCUAGUCGGCGUUGGGAUCCGAAGGAGGAAGAUGAGGAGCGUGGCCACCAGCGCGCUAGGCUGAGAUAGAAGGAGGGGACCGGGAGGAAGAAGGAACAGGAGAAGAUAAGGUGGGUCAGGGUGAUGCACGAGGCGUAUGAUGGGGACUCAUCGCGUGGCUCGCGAGCGACCGGCGGAAUCGUUCGACCGGCGCACCACGCCCAAACGUUUACAAAAAAAAAA
This 55178-nucleotide long non-coding RNA is filed under the name Triticum aestivum (bread wheat). RNAcentral describes it as "long non-coding RNA (TAES_LNC003455)". Lineage: Eukaryota; Viridiplantae; Streptophyta; Magnoliopsida; Poales; Poaceae. The record is from RNAcentral.